AACAGAGACUUAUUCGAAAACAUAUUACACACACAUGUACGGUACGACAUGGUGUUGUACGGAAUAUUAGAUAGAAAGGAACAACACCAGACGAUGGAUAUGGUAGAUUUGAGUUAUGAGAAUCGAUCGAUAGAUCAGCAAUGUCUGGUGCAGUAGCAACGACGACGGAAACCACGGCAUUUACCUCCGCCAAAACCUUCGUUGUGACACACGUUUCCGCAGUUUGUUGAGCUCACACAUGUACCCUUGAACCUAUGGCUCUUCGACUCACACGUGCGUGCCUCCACUGUGACUGGACCCAUCCCUACACACAGUUUAGACCAUAGCUUAGUUUCAUCUUCUCAUGCAUGGUGCGUUAUUCAUCUUAAGAGUUAACGGAAGAACGAGUCUUUUUGCUAAACAUAUACAACCAAAGCCCACAGGCCACAGCCAGUUAUAGUCAGAAUUGAAGGGGAGAAUGAGAAGCCACGAAAAACCAACUUUCUCUACGAAGAUUCGCAAGAGCAGUCGCUAGAAACAUAUAGAUCCGUAAAAAUGACAAUGAUAUACUAUUAUGUAGAUUCAUAUAUUUUCAUGCAUAUGUGCAUAGUUAGAUAUAAAGACUGGUUAGGAGAGUAAUGAACCUGUGGCAACGAAUAUCAUGAACAAGAGGAGAACAGCUGAGAUCAAACGCAUAGAGAGCUUCAUUUUGAGAGAGAGAAAGAAACUUUCAGGGAGAGAGAGAGUCGGAAGGAAACAAGUGUUAGGUGUGUAGGGAGCUAACGAGGAAGAUGGCACUAUAUAAAGAGACUCAAGUGACAAGUGGUAUAAGAACGAUCGAGAUUAUUGAUUAUUUUAUUACAUAAUUGAGUAUUUUAAUAUUUAAUAGAUUUUUGAAAUUUAAAUCUUUUUGAACCAUGAUGAAAAGUUUUGAUAUUCGCUAUCGAUUAUUGCAAGUGUGGCGUGGCGACGAUUUGCUUUACCGACACUGUAAAUUGAUCCUUAUUGGAAGUGACACGACAAGCAGAGAGAUCGUAUAGCUUCGACAAGUCAUUCUCGAAAUUUAUAAAACAAACUUUCUUUUUCAGAAUUUUAGAAACGUUAAAGCGUAUAGACAAGUAAAAUAAUUGAUUUGUCAGAUACUGUGGAGUCCACACAAUGCGAUAGUGGCCACGUGAAAAUGUAAGUAAACCAAGUGACGUUGUAUUUAUUGUAUUUAUCGCACCGGAAAAAGGGUUCGUAUAAAACGUGAAAUUUGAUAUUUUCCCUACUCUGUUUAGCAAAAAACCCAUUUACAGGAAAAAGGAAAAACCAACCCAUUUACAGGAUUUAAGCAAAUUAGUUUAUUCAUGCUACUUCGAUCCGGAUAUUUAUAAUUUUAUUUUAAUAUGCAAUAUCUAUGAAAUGAAAUAAAUUGUAAAUAAUUAUUAUUUUAGAACAAAUAUCCAUUUCGAUCUUUUAUAUACAUAUAUAUAAUAUUUAAAUAAUUAUAUACCACAAGAUAUCUUCCAGGAAAAAGAUAAUGUUAAACUUUGAUAAUAUAGAUAUGGCCAUUGUGGAAGUUACCAAUUUAUCCCAACAGUUGGUUCGUUGGUAUUUUACUGAUGGCUCUGGAAAAAAAUUAUUCGAGAUAUGGCUGGUAUAGUAUUUCGGUGGGAUUUGACGGAUUUAUGGGGGCAAAAAAUGCAUGUCAAAGUUUCAUUUGGCUAUGAAAAUCAUAAAUAACUUACAACAUCUCUAUGUAAUUUUUGCAACAGACUGUUCUUACAUGAUAAAGAGGUUUCGGAACCAGAAAAAUUAUAUGCAUUGCAAUUUACUUGGAAGAUAUACGCAUAUUGGAGAGAAGUUUUAGUCACUCGGAGCUUCUCUAUCUACAAGAAUACAUAAUAAACGGAUAGACAACUUGGUACGCAAUGUUUGAAAGCAAUUGCCCUAUGUCAUUUACAUUGAAUCAGAAGUAAUAGUUCAUAAAAUCUUAAUUGAGUUUGUUAAGUUGAUGUCAAACAAGAAAAUAUUCAUAUAAUACAAAUUCACUUGAUAUGUAACACCAUAAAACUAAAAGUAAAAGUAGAGAUGAAAUUCAUUUAGAAGAAAAAAAGGCAACAAAAUGUUUUGUGUAUAUUUAUAUAAAAUUUAUGUAUCAUUAUUAAUUUAUAAUUUUACUAAGAUUAUAUAUUUAUCUAAUUUUUUAAAUAUUAUAGAGUUUUUACUAUAUGUAGUAGUUAUGUGAACUCUAAUUCGGGAUUACUUUACUUAUACACAAAAUAUGUAGAAAUAUUUCCCAAAAAAAAUAUAGAAAUUUAUAAAUGUAGAAAUAAAAGAAAUGCAUUUGUUAACCAAAAAAAGAAUGAAAUGCAUUUAGCUAAAUUUAAAGAUGGUAAUGCACUGUUUUUCAUAUGGGAAGUGGCAGACAAAAAGUGAAAAUUUAUAAAUUAAAAAAGUGGCAGGCAAAAAGUACUUAAGUUAUCGGUCCUCUUUAUGUUUUUCACUGUAAAAUUCCAACAUUUGUGAGUAACAUGAAAAGUGAAAAAUCAAAUAACGCAUCAAGAGUACUUCAAAGUUGUACUUAGUUCGCUCAAACAAAGAAUCACACUGAAUGGUGGUGGCUUCUCAGCUUUUUACAAAGAAUUCAAUCCUCUCGAGUAUGCUGCUCUUGCAGCACCGUGAUACUGAAGUAUAGUAAACAAUGUACACCAUUUUCUAAGUUUUCUCUCUCAAUUUUCCAGGACAGAGGCAUGGCAUACAACCAAAUGAGGACUAGGGUUGUUGUUCAAGUGAUUUUGCCUGAUAAUAAGAGCAACACCAGUCUCUGUUAUAAGAUAAGAUACAAAGACCACUUGUAAAUGUAAACCCACAACACAAGUGCACAUGAAUGGUCUUUCUAAGACCCAUCUAAUCGGCUAGAAUGGCUACAAGAAGUUGAAAAGGUCGGUUACAAAAUAUUAUAUAUAUAUAUAUAUAUCAAAUAAAAAUCUAUCUAUCUUAUUAUAGUGGAAGUACCAUUUACAUAUGUUUGGAAACAUGGAUAAGGAUAGUAAUAUAAAAAAAAAUAAAAAGUUGUUUGAAAAUACUGAUAGCAAUGUAUUAAUUUAAAAUUUUAUAAUUAACUUCCUAAAUCUACAUACUAUACGAAUGAGUCUAUAUAAAAAAUCAAACAUACACGAAUGGGCAUGUACUUUUGUAAUAUCUUUAGACAUGUUUUUGUGUUGGUCAAAUGCUAAUCAAACAAGAAAUAUGACAUACAUAUAAAAUGUAAACGUGAGAUUAGAGAUCAAACCAAGUCAUACACACCCAAAACCAUAACUGGUCAUAAGAAUGCAAUUUCAUACAAACCCAAAACCAUAUAAAUUCACUAGAGUUAUGUAUAAACCACAUAUAGAUGUUUAAAAAAACAGAUAUACAAUACUAGCAGAAUUACCCAACAUACAAAUCUUAAUUUUUUAUGGACUAUCAAACCGGUCAUUGUUAUAUUGAUUAUUCAACUGAUCAAAUAAUUUUAAAUGCCAUUGAUUUUACCGUUCACCUUAAAAUUCUUACUACAAUGUUUAUGGCUCACAACAUUUUACGAACGUCCCUAUUACAUGACACAAUGAUGAAAUACAUAGUUUAAACAAUAAACAAAAGUAGUUAAGAUGAAAUCGUUAAAUUUUUCGUUUUCUAAAGUUUGUAUAUAUUGUAAAACAUGCACCCGUGCGAAGAUCUAGUCAUUCCUUACAUAUCAUAACUAGUAGAAUAUAUAUACCUCUUUCAAAUCACUUCUUACACAAGAUAAAAAUAAAAACCAAAUUAACUGGUACAACUUGUGUGUAGGCUGAAAAUCAGAAUCCUACACUUUCUAGGCUUCAUCAAUAUCAGUAUGUGAUCAUCACAAAAUCAACCACAAAAGCAAUUGACUUUAGUUAGCAAGACUUACAUUUAAACCAAUCAAAAUCAACUAUUGCAUCUAAUAGAAUCCCAUUUUCCCAAAUCAAGCAGAGGAGUUCAGAAAAGUUGUAUGCAUUACCUUCAAAACCCAGUAAAAAGAAGUUUCAUUUCAUCAAAUUCGAGCAAACCCUCCUUGGGAGAUAAAAGAUUGAGAAGAGUAAUAAUACUUGUAUGAUAAUCAUCACAGUAUAAGUUUCCACUUCAUAGUACCUAUCAACAAGUAGUAACCCUAUAAGAGCUACCAGGAGCGAAUCUAGAUAUUUUUGUGUGUGGGUGCAUAACUUCAAAAUAAAAAUACAAGCAUAAUGAGAAUCAAAUUUGACUUUUUGUGGGUGCACGUAUGAAUAUUUUACCAUUAUAUCUGCAGAAAUGUUAAGAUUUCACAUACAAAAUCAUAAAAAUAUUUAUUACAGAGAAUGCACAUGUCCCCAUAAUCUACACUGUGGCUUCGCCCCUGAGAACUACCAUAAAGAUCCUAAUGAAGGUCAGCUGAGAUUUUGCACACUCGUGCAGUGCUUCUCAACCACAUCCUCAUUUUCACUCACUUUCCUAGUCUUCAACCACAAAUCUUCCACCAACUCGUACGCCUCGCAUCAUAACUUUUGCAUCUUCCUCAUCAUUAGCAUUGGGCAUUCUGAUUUUUGGUUCGAUUAAUUCAGUUUUUCUAAAAGUAUAGAAUUCGUUUGGUUAUUUAUAAAAUUCAGUUUGAGUUUGAUUCAGUUAUUUCGAUUUUUCGGUUUAGGUAACAAAAUUGAAAACAAGCUAAUAUCCUGAGAAUAAAAGUGACGGAUUAGAGUCAUCUCCCGAGUCUAUAGCCAUUUAAAAGAAUGCUGCAACCAUUGCAUUUCAUUAUGGAUCCUGUAUGGCAAAUUCAGAAAAGAAAGGAAAAUCAUAUGAAACUGAAACCCCUAGAAAAUAACAAUAAAGUAAUUAUUUCAUUCAAUUGAAGAAGAAAGAGAGGAGAUGCGACAUUUGUUUGUUCGAAUCAUGUUUCUAUGUACUUUUCAAAUGGACUGUAACAAUUCUUUAUAUUUGUCCUAAUUUAUAUAUGAGCCAGCAUCAAUUUAUAUAAAAAGGCCCAAUAGCCUAGUCUAGGAUACGAAAAAGACUAGUCGAUGGCUCGAUGGUGGGAAAGCUUUUUCCAUUUUCAUACAAGUUUUGUUUUAAACAUAUCAGUUUCUAGAAAAUAAAACGAAGAUUUAAACAGUUGGGCUAAUCCUAAAUAAUCGGGCCUUGGCUGUAUGUUGUAUCUUUUUAUUCCUUGGCAACCAGCCCACAAAAAGAAAAAGAAAUUGAAAGAUAUUAGAUCCUCUUUUUUUUUUUAACAACAAUUCACAAUAGAGCCUUGUCGUGUUUUCUUUUUGUUCAAAAAAAGUGUGUACAAAUGUAAUAUUCGAGAAUCUUUGUAAAAAAGGCUAAAGUAUAAGUAAUCUUAAUAUUGACUGGAUAUAAUAUGCAAGCUACCUCCCCAUACAAAACUUUUCAUAUAUACCUCUACUAAAACCAUAAGUUUACAUCGUAGGAAUAAACAAAAAAGUUUACACAUCCAGUUAAUAAAUAAUAAAACUGUAGUUAUAAAGUGAAUUAGAAAUACUUGUAUAUAUUUGAAAUACAAAUAUUUGAGCCGUAGAUGAAAGAAUCUAAAACCACCAAAUGAUAGAAGCCAGAAGGGAUAUGAAACACAUUUGAAGCAAACACUUACUUCCAUUCCGAGAUGAAGACACUCCUCCAUGAACUUAAACCAUGUGUAGACAUAGCUAAAAGCCUAAAACAAAAGCAACAUAUUAAUUUUCAUACAAAAAUCUAAAAUUCUUUUGUUUAAUUUGUCCAUAUGACAUGCCCUGUUAUUGGGAUAUGUAAAGAUCCCAUAUACUAAGAUUGAGUCAUAUUUUUAUUAUGUAAACUUUCCUAUAAACUCGAAAUUGCAUUGUAUAUAUACGAUCACCUGUUCAAAAAUACAACUCCCAAGAUUGUAUGAUCGGCAAUUAAGCGUUGAUUGAAGAACCGUGGUGAUUUGCUCUAAUUUGCUACAAAAUCGGAUCUAAACAAAAACAAUUCACUUUUCUAAAUUGUUAAGUUUAAAAUCAUUGUUAGGUUUAAACAUAGUAAAAAAAGAAAGUGAAAUGCUGUGGGAAAUGAAGAUACAUCAUUCUCUUUUGGAACCUAUGACCUGGAAAACUGUUAAACACCCACAAAUCACUAGACUACGCUAUGUGUUUUAAGGUCUUUAUACAUUUUUUUUGUCAACAAGGUCUUUAUACAUUUAAUAUAUACUAUAAAAAUAGACAAAAUUAUUGGGUCCGAUUGGUAAUGGCUGUAGCUUUAAAUAUUUUGCUGUAGAAAAAAAUCUGUAGACUUUUUGCUGUGGCUUUAGAUUUUAUUGCUGUAGAAUUUUAUUGAAGCACUAAAAAAUUGCUUUGGAUAUUUGGCUCUGCAGAGCACUUGUACAGCUGUAGGAUAUUUUAAGAGCUGUAGUUUCAAAAAAGAAUUUAAAGCUUGAUUGCUCUGAAUUUGGUGCUGUGGAAAUAAAUAGAGCUGUGGACAGCACCUACAGCAACUACCAAUCACCCCCAUUAUUAUUUUUUUGACCGAAGGCAUUCUACAGACAAAAUUAGUCUCCUGAUGAUUCCGAUUAAACUCCACUUUUUACAACUGGCUAAGUUCCGAACAAUCUGAACACAUAUUUGUGUGUGUGUGUAUAUAUAUAUAUAUUAAAUUAUAAAACAUUUUUUAGAUAAAAGAAAAUUUUAGUACAACAAAACCUAAUCAGUUAAAUGAAGAGAAAACGAGGGUUUUGUCUUAAAGCCCACCAGAAAGAUACGAAUGAGAAAAAUUAGGUCCCCACACCACACCCCGCAUGUGGACACAUUUCACCAAUUUAACAGUGACACCCAAACCGUAACCAUCCAUCUUCUUAAUUGUAAAAACAGUUUUUUUUUUUUCUAAAGUUUAUUUAUUAAAAUAAACUAUGACAGAUAAGGACCUCAGCAACACAAAAAAUAAAUCAAAACUAGGUCUCGUCGCUCUGCCGCAAGAAAGAAAGAAAGAACAGCCGCAAGUUCUGUAUUUUCCGGUGACCGGCGCGUGGUGGCUUUGUUUGCACCACCGCCGGUCUAGUUAGCCUUGCCGUCUCUAUCCUUUGUAGAUCUGCUAGUUAAGUGUUGUUUUGGGAUGCGAAUCUGGGUCUGCGUUUGGUGACGAAGCGGACAGUCCGUGUCUCUUCGAGGUCUCGUCGGGACUCGGUGGUGGGGCGGGUGGAGACAGUCCGUGUGGUUGGUUGUGCGGAGGUCUCCGCUAGGCUUAAGCUUCGUUUCCUCUUCUCUCUUGUUUUCAUCUUCUCCUCUUUGUCUCUCAGCAAAUCUGGAUUACUAGGGUUUUCAUUUCGUUUUAGAUCUCUAGAUCUUGAUUUGUCGCUCUGGUUUCAAUCCAUCUCAGAUGAUGUUGUUUUGGGUUAACCUUGUCUGUGUGCUUCAGAUGGGUUUGUGCUUCAUCCUUUAUCCCAUCUGAUGUUUGUUAUUUGACAUAGAGGUUGAAUCCGAGGCAUCCUUGUUGGUUUGUAGUGUUUGUGUUCUGUCUGGUUUCAUCAACGGUAUAAGUGGUGGUGUGAUGGUGGCAGUUGUGUGUGAUGAGCAGAGCAUGCCUUUUAUUCUUCAGAAGUUGCAGGGUUCUUUUCACCUUUCCAUCUCUCAGGCAUGAAGGAGUCCUUCUCGCGGCCUUAUAAUAAGUGUGGUUUCCGGAUGUUCUCAUGAUUCUCUCGUUCUUCGGUGGCUUCGGUGAAGCAAUUUAAUGAAGUUGAGGGUGUAGGCUUUCCGAUGAAGGUUCGCUUGAGGAGGGGACUUUAGUUUCGGGUGGUUGUCUCUUCUAUAUUUGGAGUUUGUUGCAAGGCGUUUUGGCUCUAGUUUGGUACCGUGAACGGAUGGUUCAGGUUUGUUUGGUCCGGUGUUGUUGUGUUGGCCACUACUCCGCUUACUCUCUCUUGUGCUUGGUUGGUUCUUGGCAAGAGUGCCGGCUGUUUCUAUGACUGGACGACUUAUUUCUAUUAGCCUCUUCAAAGUUUGUCUUCGGUUUUGGUUAUAAGAGUGCAGUCUCAUCUUGUGUCUGCCCUAGUUGUUGUAUGUGUUGCCUUUUGUUUGGGUUUGAGAAUCCCGUUUGUGGGCUAUGUUUCCGGGGAUAGUAAUGUGUUUCCGCCGGCUUUUGGUUAUCAUGCUUGUAUGUUCUCAGUUUUAUCAAUCAAUCAAAUUCAGAAGGGAAAAAAAAAAAAAGGACCUCAGCAACAUACUUUUCAAAAUCAUAUAUAUGACAUUAAAAAGAAAGUAGAAAACACAAAACCGGAGAGAGAGAGAGAGAGAGAGAAAGAGGUAGGGCUUUGUGUUAUAUACCAUACAAUAUACAUAUAUAUAUAUAUAUAUAUAUAUAUUAGAAUAGUGUCUUCUUCUUCAUCAUCUUCUUUACCAUCAUCAUCAUGCAUGCAUCUUCUUCUUGGUCCUUUCUUUAGUUCCGAUUUAUAGCUUUUUGACUAUUUUUCCUUCUUCUUCUUGGUUGCUUUCUCUUGAUCUCAGGUACCUAAAAAAAUCACAACUUACAAAUCUCUCUUCACUCUUUCAAAAGCUUACAAACAAAAAUAAACAUAAACAUAAACCCUUGAUUUGUUUUUCUUUGUUCCCUUUAUGUCUUUUAGCGAAUUGUAUUUUUUAAAUUCUUCAUGUCGUCAAUCUAUAUGGACUCUUCCUGUUCUUAAUUACUCUCUUCUUAUUCUUCCCAAAAGAUAAUUUGAUUUCUUUCACAAUUUUUUAACUCUAUUGUAUGGAUUAGUUGUAGAUUAUUACGUUCUUCCACGCAAAGAGGAAGAUCUAAAGAUGUCAUCCUCAUCAUAUAAUACAAGCGUUGUUCCUUCAUCAUCCUCGACUCAGCCGUUCUUCAUCACCGGCUCCAGCGCCGGAGAUAACGCCUUUGACCGGAAAGAUACUUUUAUGUCAAUGGUUCAACAACCUAACUCCUCGGCUCCACAACCCAAGAAACGAAGAAACCAACCGGGAAACCCAAGCAAGUACCUCUUAUUGACAUACAUAUAUAUACAUCACUGAGUUUUAAUAGAUAAUUAGAAGAACUAAUAAACAGAAACCCUAAUCAUUUAUAUUCUUGUAUCAAGAUUUCAUUAUCAUAAACCUUUUAGGAAAAGAAAGAAAAAAAAUUCAUUAUAUUGCUAGCGUUAGAUCAAAUUAUAUUAUGAGUGUGUGUGUGUGAUUUGGUUUACUUCUGUUUGUAAUUGUGUGUCUUAUUGGCUUGAUGUAAUCCUCAUAUAUUAACAUCUUGAAUCCGGAUUGGUGAUUAAGCUUAAUUGAUCAAACAGAUCCUGAUGCGGAAGUGGUAGCGUUGUCUCCAACGACACUAAUGGCUACAAACAGAUUCAUAUGCGAUGUAUGCAAGAAAGGGUUUCAAAGAGAACAAAAUCUACAGCUUCACCGAAGAGGACACAAUCUUCCAUGGAAGCUCAAACAGAAGUCAACCAAAGAAGUGAAGAGGAAAGUGUAUAUUUGUCCGGAACCCACGUGCGUCCACCAUGACCCCGCACGUGCUCUCGGAGACCUCACCGGAGUCAAGAAGCAUUACUAUCGUAAACACGGAGAAAAGAAGUGGAAAUGCGACAAAUGUUCUAAGCGUUAUGCGGUUCAAUCGGAUUGGAAAGCUCACUCUAAGACUUGUGGUACUAAAGAGUAUCGAUGUGACUGUGUGGUACCAUCUUCUCUAGGUACGUAACUGAUCUCCAUCCAUUUCAUUUAAAUAAUUUGUCUGUAUAUGGGCUAAGUGAUGAAACGUAUAAUAUAUAUACGUGUGUGUAGUAUCUAGAUAUACCCUCUUAUCUAGGUAAAGGAUAUGACAGUGGACCAUCAUUUCUUUUGUAUUAUACUGAUACUAUUCUAAGUAAAAAGAUGCAUUCAACACUGCAUGAAAACUUAGCUUAUAUACUAAUUUAAAUGAAAAUAUAUACCAACUAUAUAAAAUAUCAUCUGUAACUGAAAUCUUAUAUAUUCAGCCACGUAAUUUGAACCUCGAGUACACCGUCCAUAAAAUGUUUAAAGUGACUACGUACAUAGAAUCUAUCACUGAUUCACAGUAUUUUUUUUUUGGUUAUUGUUUUCUGGGUCAACUAUUUGUUUGGUUACUGAUGAGUAGUGAAUAGAGAAAGACAGUGAAGAGAAAGUAAGAAAGUUUAAAAUAUGCUAAAUUUGGUCAGAUGUAUGAGUUGGAUCUGUUUUUCCAUUUCCCACUUUUGUUUUCUUCUUCUUCACUUUGCAGGUUCCCCUUUUUAUGAGACUCCUCUUCUUUUGUGGACCCUGUCUUAUCUCUUUCUCUCUCUAGACAUAUACAUACAUAUAUAUUUGGUAAGAGUGCGUUACUAAUUUCAAUUUCAUCACAGUGUUCUGGUGAAGACUUUAAUGCCGUUCUAGGGUUUCUUUCUUUAUUUUCAUGGUUUGUGUUAAAUACGUUGUCGUAGAAUGUCACUGACUUGUAUAACAUUCCUGGGGUUUGCAUUAAAUGAGAAGCUCUUUCAUUAAAGUAGCAAUUGACUCGAGCUAUAAAUUCUUCUAUCAUUCUUUCCUAAUGGUAGCCACAAUAACUAUAGCAUUCAUUAAGAUGAUUCACGUCAAUAUAUAUAUAUUGCAAAAUCAUAUAUAUGCCAAUAAUUUUACAUCCAUCAUUUUCUUGUUUACAUAUUUGUGUGAAUUUUUUUUGCUAAGUAUAUUUGUAUGAAUUUUGGGUAUUUAUUUUGCAGACGCGAUAGUUACAUUACACACAGGGCUUUCUGUGAUGCAUUGAUACAAGAAACCGCUAGAAACCCUACCGUGAGCUUCACGUCAAUGACAGCUGCUAGCAGUGGCGCCGGCUUCCGUGGAUUUCAUGGGAGACUCGAGGGUGGCAACGCUCUCUCCCACCACCAUUUGAGUGACCAUCCUAACUCCGGAUUUUCGUCUUUCGGGGGUUACAAUCUAAACAUUGCAUCUUCUGAAAAUAGCAGAGACUUUGCUCCGCAAACGUCAAACCCUAACUUCUUAGUACAGAGCCAAGGAAUGCUGACUCAACCGAACAACAACAACAACGAUCAGAGUUUCAUGAACCAACAAGGUCUGAUCCAGUUUGAUCCAGUCAACAACAUAAACCUCAAGAGUAGCACCACCAACAACAGCUUCUUCAAUCUCGGAUUCUUCCAAGAAAACACCAAGAACUCAGAGACGGCUAUUCCUUCUCUAUAUAGCACGGACUCUCUUGUUCAUCACCGUGAAGAAAGCUUGAACGCGGGUUCUAACGUGUCAGCCACGGCACUGCUUCAGAAAGCUACUCAGUUGGGUUCAAUCACAAGCAACGAUCCUUCUGCUUUGUUCAGAGGCUUAGCUUCUUCGUCUAACUCGUCAAGCGUGGUUGUUAAUGACUUUGGAGGAGGGCAGAUUAUGGGCAACGAUAAUAACGGUAACCUUCAAGGUCUAAUGAACUCACUAGUGGCCGUAAAUGGCGGUGGUGCCGGCGGAUCCGGUGGCAAUAUCUUCAACGUGGACUUUGGAAACAAUAAUGUAAACAUGAGCGGCUCGGACAACUUAACUUUAGAUUUUCUUGGAGUUGGAGGAAUGGUGAGAAAUGUAAAUCGCGGAGGGGCUGGUCGCGGCCGUGUUCGUGGAGACGUUUCUUUGAAUGGUGAACUAAAGUUUCCGGAGUAAAAUCAUCCGUUUGUAAGAACUUAAUAAUGCCUUAUUAUUACAGACUUUAUCAUUAGGUGAUAACUUUGCUACCGUCGUUUGUUGUUUUCGUAAUCUAUAUAGUAUAUAUUAUUAGAUCUUUCUGAACUCUUUAUGUAUGAUUUUGAUUGGACUCUGUCUUUGUUUAGUUGUUAUAUAAUAGAAAAAAGGAUGUAAAUUUCGAGGGUUAACGGAAUAGAUAGAGUUAUGGGGCAAAAUGGUGAAAGGUUAGUAGCUUCAAACGAAACUUUUAAUAUGUUAGAAUGUAAAAAACAUAUAGUAAGGCCUGGGCAUUCGGGGUCCCAAACGAGUUUCGGUUUUAUCCAAUCGGGUUUCGGUUUUUCGGGUUUAUCAAAAUCAGCCCCAUUCGGAUUAUAUGAAAGUUCGGUUCGGGACCGGUUCGGGUUCUAUCGGGUUCGGAUCGGGGUUAGUAAAUCUUCAAAGAACCGGUACAACCCAAUAUACUUUCGGGUUCGGGUCCCAAUCGGUUUUUCGGUUUAAAAGUACCUGAUUUUUUACCUAUUUUAUAACCGAAACAUGAGUAAACUUUGUUUUUCUGUUUUAAAAUACCUGAUUUGUACCUAUUUUGUAACCAAAACUUAAGUAAAAAUCGAUUCAAAAAUAAGGAACAUCAACCGUGAUCAUUCAAAAUCAAACGAAAAGUAAACAUAUUUACUGAUAAAAAGAAAACCAAAUAAAUAAAAGCAUAAAAUGAAAACCAAGUUCUCAUGAAAUGAAAAACAUUGUUUAAUGAAAACAAAAUCAAAAUCUAAAUACUUCAAGAUUCAACGGUCAUCUUCAACCAUCAACCUUCAUGUAAUAGAACCACCAACCUUCAUGUAAUAGAUAAGUAUUUUAGAUGUUCAAUAUUUCUUAGUGUAUUUUGGAUACAUAUUAGGAAUUGAGAUCAUGUUUGGUACAAGAUCUUUUCGAGGUUUUGAAUGUUUCGGGUUCUAUCGGAUAUCCAUUUAGAUUCGGGUUCGGUUCGGAUAAUACCCAUAACCCGAAAUACCACAAAACAAGAUCCAUUCGGUAUUUACGUCGGGUUCGGAUCGGUUCGGAUUCAUUUUUAUCGGAUCGGAUUCGGUUCGGGUUUUCGGGUUCGGUUUAUUUGCCCAGCCCUAUAGUAUAUCGUGGCCGAAAGUUUUCGAAUAUUCAUUCGUAUGCAUGUAUAUUUAAAUUAACAUCCUUGUUAAAUACUUAGUAAUGUUUUGAACGUGAUAGUGACUGCAAAAGUUAACUCCGCGGAUGAAACUGGUGAAGACAUCGCAUUUUUACACAUUUAAAAAGGCUAACUAUGAUGGUCGAUGGCCAAAUUUCAUAAAGGUUUGAUUGGUAGCCCAAUUUAAUACGGUUGGGAGAAUUAGUUUAGACUUCAGUUUCUUAUGUAUAUCAUUGAUCCAUGUUUCACUUUCUAAUAACAUGUUUGUGUGUCGAUAGUAAGUUCGCAUUAAAUAUUUGUUUGUUUAUGUAGACGAAGAUAUCUUCUCUUUACUUUUUUCUGGUGUGUUUUUAGAUGAAGGUGCUUCAAGAAUCUAGAGGCGUGGAUCUCCAUUCUUGUUGACUAUUUUGGUAGCUCAGUUUUUCUGUCAGCGGCUUAGUCUGCGUAUGAAGGGUGCAGCUGAAGGCGGCGGCGGCUGUUUAUGUAUAUUGAUAUAUACUUUAUUAGAAAAUAUGUGUAUAUAGUGUACAUGUUAUUAUAUCUAAAAAGUAUAAAUUUAUGUUUUUUAAACCAACAUGUAUAUCGACUGUGUAAAUUAUCGUUGCACCCCGUUUUGUUUUACAAAUCUGAUUAAAAUAAUUCAUUUAAUUAAUGCGAAAUUGAUUAUACGCAUCACUAGAGUAUAACUAUAAAUAUAAUUUGAUUCAUAAACUAGAUUCACAUCCCACGCUGCACAUGCAACUAUAGCACAUUCAAAGUAAUAAAACGCCAACCGUAUCGGAAAUAUUCCAAUAUAAAGUCCAAACAGAAGCAUCCAAUAUCUCCCUCUUAUUCAUACUAGAGGUUUUAUCCGGGCUACGCCCGGGAUUAUACAAAUAUCAUAGUAUUUAAUAUAUAUAUAUAUAUAUAUGUAUAUAUAUAUAUUGCAUAUAUACUAUAUCUAUGUUAUAAAAAUAUAAAUAGUAAAUUGAAUUAGAUAUGAAUAAAACUUACAAUCUAUUGAUUACUAUCUAAAAUAUGUAUGGAAUGAUGGUCAAAUGUGAAAUGAAUAAAGACUUCGUUAAACCUUAAUUAUUAUCCAAAAUAUACUGUUAAAUAUUUACGUUACUAUGAAAAAAAAGAAAAAAAUACUGUUAACCUCAAUUGAUUCUUUUUUUUUACUUUAAAUCACUAAGCUUAUAAUUUUUAUUUACAAUUUAGUUCAAAUUUACAGUAUUAGAAAAUAUUUAUGGUUUUUAGAAUCUAUAUGAAUUGAGGCACAUUACCUAAAACUUGUAUUACCUCCACAAUUAUUGGCGAACUGUUGACCGUAAUCUAAGAGGAGGUAGUUUGGUUCAGUGUUAGGGUCUUGUUUAAAAACAUUAUCUAGAACUUGUAUCACCUCCAUAACUAUGAUCUUUUUGAACCCAGUGUGAUUGUAAACAACUAAACAUAAGCAUAGUAAUUAAUCACAAUUUUUUGCUAUGCUUAUCUGAGGACUCUAUUGUUUUUUACUUAAUUAGACCACAUGCUAACUGUAUUCAUAAUGUUUUAUCACGUAUAUAGACAAAAGUAAAAGUCAAAGAUUUUCUUGAAAGAAUAAGAAAAUGAAUUGUCUUUAAUUUAUCUGAUUUACCUAUUUUCUUCGAGACAAAUAAUUUUCUUUUAUUUCAGAGAGAACGAAAGGACAUGUUCAUUAGUAAACAUCUUAUAAAAUAUCUCAAUAAUAAUAAUAAAUCAAAAUAUCUGAAUUAAAAAAACAAACAAAAUGAAAUUGAGAAGAAAAUGACGAAAGAAUGAAAGAAUUUCUACUCUAUUGAUAAAAAACAACUCAUUUAAUAUUUGUCAAAUGUUGUUAGUAAAAUUUAAAAAAUAUUAAAAUUUAUUAUUGAGAAAUUCUGGAGAGUUUCUUAUUACUGAUUGAUUGUCUUAUGCUUUCAUACUCCAUACUUUUUUUGUGAUUGUCAUAUGGGAUAUAAACAACAGUUGUUAUAAUCAUUCAUAAAUUUAGUUCCCUGUAAUUGAUUUUUGUUAGCUACCGAAAGUUGGAAAAUAACAGUUGUUAUAAUCAUUCAUAAGUAUUCAUCAAUACUACCAAUAGUAAUAUAAAAAGUAACAGAAAAACAUAUAAUAAUUUAUAGAGUAUGUUUCAUAAUAUUUAGUUUAGUCUCAGUGAAAAGUGAUAUUAAUAUACAUACACUAUUUUUGUUAUUCUUCUUAUAAAUCUAAGAAAUCAUAUAUUAUGAUGUUAAGAUCAUGUCCGGAUGUGCCACAUGGAAGCCAUAUUUGCCGGAAGCUGAACUCGUUCUGCAGCUAUAUCUUUGGCUUCCAGCAGUGUUUUGAACCGGAUCCGCUGUUGAACCGGUAAAUCCGGCGAUCCAGAAAAAAAUCUGGUUUGGAUUUUGUGAAAAACUCAAUAUUUAGAAAUCCGCAAAAACCCACUAAAACCCGAAACCCGAUAUCGGUUUGACCGCCGGUUGAAUCAAUAAAUAACUUUUACUUUAUUUUUUUAGUUUUUAAUUAUGUAUUUAGAUUAUGUUUUAUAUUCUAAGUUUCCAAUUAAGAAGUUAGGUUUUUCCUUUUCAGUUUUAUAUUUGUGGUUUUUAGAUUUUGAUGAAAAUUUCACAAUACCACCUAAAGAAAAUAACGUGAACGAUAGUAAAAAGAACCAAAAUUAGUUGAUUUGAUUUGGUGUUUGUUUAUUUCCGUUAUUGACAAUUUAUUACAAUGAUCUUUUAUUUUUGAUUUAUUUUUUAUUUGAAGUUUAAUUUAUUAUUUACCUUGUUAGAGAAAAUUUUAAAUUGUAUAAAGUAUUUUUUGAUAUUUUGUAUGUCAAAUGAAAAUAAAAAUAUAAAAACUAAAGUUAAUUAUUUUCUAAAGGUUCCAAACUAUUAUUUUAUGUUUAAAAAAACAUUUAGAAAAUAUUAAACUUUAGUUUCUAUAUUUAUAGCCUCUUUAGUUCCAUAGUACUCCUUUCAUAUUAAGUAUGGCAUGCUGCAGUUCAAGAAACCAAAAAAACACAACUCAUAUAAAGAAACCAACAAAAUAAAAAGAACUUUCACUCACCUGGUGAUCACUUUGGUUGAUGAGGUCAGGUUCUGCAGAUUUAGGAAACUGGACAGUUUGUAUGCAUCUUCUUGACAUAUCACUCGGGUAUCCAACCUCCAACUUUUUCGUGAAUUAUGUAUAUAACGUUAACUAUUUGCUAUAGUGGCCUAUGAGUUAUAUUAAAUAACUUAGUUCGUCUAGUUAUAGUAUGAUUGCUUUUUCGUUCUUUUACCACUUUCUAAGCCACGUAUAAGAGAAAGUCAUAGAGAUUAUACAACAACCAUAAUCUAAGAAGCUAUGUAUCAAACUAAAAUCUGGGGAAAAAAAUAAUAAUAUAAGUUCCAAUAACAUAUUGAGAACUUGAUUGUCAUUAAAACAAAAGCGGUUCCUCAAGUUCUUCUUCCGAGACAUCUCAUUUUCUUUCAUUGUUGUGCAACUGAUACUUUAAGUGAUCAUUGCAAAUUUGCAAUGACAACUGCCCGUUAUCAAGAUUGUUUCUACAAACCCUAGGUGGAACUUAGGUUCCAAUCAAAACGCAUGAUAUCAAAUGUGUAUAGCUCAUUCACAAACAAACCCUAGGUGGGAUAUACUACCAGUUUGCUAUUGAAGCAAAAAGUUCUUGUAGCAAAUUUGGUUGAAGAUGUAAAUAUAGCGCAAGAGGUACUUGUCUUUGCUGCAUAGUGUUAGAGGAACGUAUAUAGUCUCCGUUUAGAGGGCUAUUUUAUAUUCAACGUAGUAAACCGGCCAAAUUUUAUAUAAUAGAAUCAUAGGGAAAGCUUUACGUAUUCAGAAUGGUUGUAAAAAGUGAACAAAGAUGGUGGAAAUCAGUUAAAUUAUUCUAAUCAAAGAUGCAUUUCUCUAUUACAAAACAUCCACUUCAAGCACAAUGUGCUCAACUCGAAUUGGCUCUAACAAAGAGAGAGAUAAACUUAUUUCCUUACUUUCUCAAUGAAUAAUCAAGCAAAAACGUGUUGUCUAUGUUACAUAAAAUCAAUAAUAGAUGAAUUAAUACGUAUAGUUAAAAAUGUCGAUUGUGCCAAAUCCACCAGUUGAAAACGCGUUACAUAGAAUACGAAUGAACUCUGACGUGGUCCAUCUACCAGUUCAACAUACUGUGCUCUGCCAACUACCACUGCAAUGACAAACAGUCCAUCUUAAUAUCUACGCGUUUGUUUCUAUUAUGCAUGUCUGAAUGCAAAGAUAAAAUAUAUUACAUUGUAAGAAAAAGUAAAAGAAGAAUCCAAGUUGUAGCUUGAACGGAUUUGCUACGCAUUUGACACUCAGACAGAUUUAGUUGUCACUGUAUAGCUCAUACCAACCGUGAAGCUGCUUUUUGUAGCACACGUGUUCAAAAUGUCCCUAGUCAAAUGCUUCGUAUCGUCCUGAAUAAGUCCGAGCACACGCGUUUGUUCCUGAAAAUAUCAACAACCAUAUGACAUAUUGAAGGUAUAUAAAAUGGCUAUUUCAAAUCAAAUGUUUGCUUGCAGAGUUAACUUAGAGUUACCUUUCGUCUCACUGAGCAAAAUUUACAGUCGGAUUCAGAAUGAGGGAGAAGCUGAUUAACAAUAAACCUGUGAACUGGCACAUUUUCUUUUCUUAAAAUGCAUGUAAUCCCGAAGACUCAGUUUAUUGCCAUGACCUAAAAGGAAAGGUAAUAGCCAAGUAAAUAUGCCAGAAGGAGAGACCGACUUCUAUUCAAAUUUAUCCUUAAUGGGGUAGAAGAAUAAAGCUACGCGUCUCAGUAACCACAUGUAAACUAAUGAUCUUAUGAACAGGUAAGAGAAUGGUGCUAUGGUUACAAUGACAAACUCAGUAGUGUCCACUUCACGGAAAACAUUUAGAACUUUCUCCAUUCUCUCUUUCAGUUGGUCCAACUCGUUGGACUGUUUCAAAAGAAAAAGAAUCUUUAGAAGAAUUAAAAAAAAAGAAUUGAUUCAAAAGAAAAUGUCUAUACUUACAGGUCCUUGUUGUUGUAUCUCCUUUUUUCCAAAGACAGACGUAAAGGCUAAAGCUGCUGCAGUGAUCUUCUUCUUGAGCUGAAUAUCAAAUACAGCUAAGCUAAGCUAAGCUAAACAUAACAAAAGGAUUAAAAAAACUGAAUGCUCAAACCUUUGUUAUUUUGCCAAUUGAAGAAUCAUAGAAAUUGGACAGAGAAAGAAGCCGCAAAAUAUGUCCCUGCAAGAACACUAUUCAAAAAUUAUAAAAGAAUCCACCAAGUGGAAACUCCAGACUUAGAAUAUAUAUAUAUACUAACCGUGGGAGCAGUAUCGAGGACUAUAUGUGUAAACCUAUUGUAUUCUGGUGACUCCAUAAAUUGAAGAACCUGUCAAGACUCAAGAGAUCUCAACAUUAGUUAUAAAAAAAUAAAGUUCAUCUUCAAGGGAUCUCAACAUACGUGCCUUGGAUAUAACUGAUAUUUCGUCAAAUACCAGGUGAUGCAGCAUUGAGCAUAUCUUCAAGAUUCAAGCUCCCUAACUACAAAAAAAAUGGACAACGCAUCUCCAUGACAUUUACAAAGUUUUCCCAAACCAACAAAAGUAGAAAAGAAAAGAGAUCUGAUUUCAUCCUUUCAUUCACUGUACCAGUCAAUAGCUUGCCCGAUAAUCAGAAACGGCAUCGAGCACUUUGACAAACGAAAUCCAAGGUGUAAGAUUUAUUAUUUGAAACAGAACAUAAUUCACAGAGAAAGACAUAAAAAAUACAUGUAGAUAUUUCAGAUAAUAGCAUCCAAAUAGAAAUCAACGACACAAAGCCCUAUCAAUCAGAGUUAUGGAAGUGAAAGUUUUAUGAGAUUCCCAACAUAUAAAUCAUCAAUAAAUAAGUUUUCUUUGCUAUUUUUACAGAUCCAGAGAAUGAUUUCAAGGGUAGGAAACUAACCUUUUUAUAGGUUUAAAAACACCGACUUGGAGAAGAGAAAGAUACAUUUAAUGUCAGAUUGUGGUUGAUGGAGUUAAGAAGGCAAUAAGAGGAGACGAAUCUGUAACUCGAAACGUUUCGAUGAUUGACUAUACCGGAAGAUUAAACGUCGCGAUUAAAGACCUAGAAAGAGAUCCCACACGUCUAUUCUAGCAUCUCAAUCUUUGGAGACUUCAUUAUUGGUGUCAGCGAAGGUAUAUGAAGGUCGUCAUUGUCAGAGUUUGUAGAGGAGGAUGAACCCUAAAACAUGUUUGCAACUGAUGAAGACGAUCAGUUUUGUCGCUAUUGGGCUGGAAUGAAGUAAAAGAUAAAGCCCAAAAAGGAAGUCUAUAGAACGGUAAAUAAAAAACUGCGUUUUGUUAAUAAAGCCGUGCUGACGUGUCCGAAUGCAGGCUUCCUAUUGGACGAUUUUUUUUAUCCUACGUGGAUGGCCUAACUGAGGCUCAUAUAUCCCUUUUAGUAUUAGUUAGAUCUUGUCGUAAUGUAUAUUCAUGCUAUAUAAUAUUAAUAACUAACGAAUUCUAUUCUAAUGUUUUAUAUUAUUUUAUCUGUCCGGUUGGUUGCUUACUUGGUCAUGACCAGUGUUCAAGAAAGUCUUAUGCGCUAAGCAGGCGACUAUUCAAUUAUUAUUCAGUGCCUAGCUCCUAAAACAUUUAAUCAGAUGCAGAUUAUUAGUUAGAUAAUUUAGGUUUGUAAAUUAUAAUAAAAUAUUAAAUAUAUUAUAUUAAAUAUCUAAUUUACAAAUUAUAAAUUUAUAGUAUUUACUUUUAUAAAUUUUAUACUAUAAUAUAUUACCUAUAAGAUUAUAAUAAUAAAAUAUAUAAUCUAUAAUAAUUUAUAAUAUUAUAAUAAUAAAAUAUAUAAUUUCGUAUUAAAUUACAUUUUAGAAUUAAAUGAUUUUAUUAUUUUGUGGAAAUAUAUUUAGAAAAAAAGUUUAAUAAUAUUAGGGUUUGACUAGUGUAAAUGUCGCGUUUGCGGGUGCGGCAGUGCAUGUUUGCGGAUACAUAGGGUUGCAUUUUAAGCUUUAUCAAACGAUUUAUACGACUGAUACAUCAACUGAAAAUUAAUGCGUUUGUGGGAUACUUGUGACUGGUUUGAUUAUCAAACACAUCAACGGCUUAAUAAUAAAUUAACACCACUAACAUUUUAUAUAAUUAAAUAAUAUUAAAAUCAUAUUAUUAUAAUAAAUAUAAAUAUAUUUAUAAAUCAUAGUAUUGAAUUUUUAAAAAGAUUUUUUUUGGGUUUAUAUAAGUAUAUAUAUAUAUAUAUAUAUGAAUGACUAAAAAAUUACAUCAAAUAUUUUUGUUUUAAAUUUGUAUAACAUAAUUAAAAUAUAAUGUAUAUUAUGAGUAUUUAUAUUAUUUCAAUUUGAAAAUUUUUAUUAAAUACUUUUAUUUGUAUAUUUAUAUUUUUUUUAAGAAAUAUUUUUCUUCAUUUUCUACAACCAUUUGUAACUAGACGUUAGCUAGAAUUAGCUUUUUAUUUCGAAAGGUUUAGAACAGUGAAAAAUAGUUUAUAGAUUUCUUAUAAUUGUUGUAAAAUGCUAAGAGCCGCUAUCACCCACAAACGUAUUAUAUGUAUGCUCUAAUUUAAACGAUAAUAUAUCAACUUUUGGUUCUCAGUAAAAUAUAUAUUAUCCGCUUUUAGUAAAAUAUAUUAUGAUUGGUUAAGUAUUUUAGUUUUAUAGAAUAAUGGUUACAAUCUUUUUUUUUUUAAGUAUAAUAUGUGACAAAUUUGACCUAAAACCUAGCUACGUGGAAAAGGCUAUAACCUCAUGGGUAAUAAAAAAGUCGGCUUGGGGCCUUCAUAUUCUGAGGACCAGUCUUCUCUGUACGCUUUAAUUUUACCAACAAAAAUUAAGUUUCACAUGUAUAAUUUGUUUAAAGAUUAUAUAGCUAAUUAGGUUGCAGGAUAGAACAAAUAAAAAACAAUAUAAUGAUAUUGCCUAUCAAUAAAAUGAACAAAAUUAAUUUGGCGGAUACUUAUUUUAAAUCUGUCAUAACUCUCAUAUUAGACAUUAGUAUCUUAUAUUUUUAAUCUAUUAUGAAGAAAAUUUUCUAAUAUAUAAUACAUUUUCUGUUUGUACAUUUAAAUACAGUAUAACAUCUUUAAAUUAAUAUUCUAUAAAUUAAUACUCUAUAAAUUAAUAUACACUAAAAAUCUCUAUAAAACAAUAUAAUUUUAUAGUCACAAAUUGAUUUUUUGGUUCAGUUAGUAUAUCGAUAAAUUAAUAUCUCUAUAAAUUAAUAAAAAAUUAUAGUUUUAUUGUAGUUCUAAUAUUAUUAAUUUAUAGAGGUUUCACUAUAAAUGCGCCUGGACUAAAAAAUCCUAAAAUGUCUAUGGUAACUGGAUAUCUUCAAUAAAAUUCAGAUUAUAUUACAAUAUAUUCAACCAAUUGAAACUCGGUAAGAGAAUAAAAAUCGAUCCCACAAAGAUUUUAAAUAGUAACCAAAUGAAUAAAGAUGAACAUUGUUUUCUUAACUUUCAUAAGAAAUAAUACUAUCAUCUAUAAGAACUAUUUUUUUUCCUUCACACUCUUUUGUAUUCUUUGUUUAGAGUAUUACAUUGCAAUUUUUCACUUAAGGUCUUUAACCGACAAUCAUAACAAGAAUACUAUGAAAAAAUAGGGAAAAAAGUAGGAAAUAACGGAUAAGAAUAAAUUAGUAAAAAUGCAAAAAUGAUGGUUUCUUCUUAAAUUUAAUGUAGAACAAAUUUUCUCUUAAUACCUUAUAAAUGAAUGAAAAAAAUGAAAAAAGUAUUCCUCAUAAAUAGUGUUAUUUAUUAGAAACGUUAAAAAAUUAGGAUUUGAAUAGAGAAGGGACGAACCACAUGGUUCAGACAAAAAAAAAAUAGACUAUCCACUUUCACAUGGCCAUUCACCCAAAACACUGAUACACUAAAAUUACAUAGCAUAAAUAUUUAAUAAUGAACUGUACAAUAUUUAGCCGUACAGAUUUGUGAAGAAAACAUAUAAACAGUAAGUGAUUUUUGAAGUUUGUCAUUUUUGUAGUGGUUUAAGUAUUUUUCUACGUAUCAGUUAUGUAUGAUUACUGAAAAAUAUAGUACUUAUUUAUUAUAAAUUAACUGUAUGGUUAUCUUUUUUUCUUUUUAAUGAUGUGAUAUUUUCUUAAUUAUAUCACAAAUUUUUUUAUCACCAUUGUGUUAUUUCUUCAGAAAUGUUAAACUAUUUUACCAAAAAUAUAAUUUUAAGGCAUCUAAAAUUAUAUAUAUAUAUAUAUAUAUAUAUUCAAUUCAAAAUCUCAAAAUAAUUAUAUAUAUGCUUAAAUUAAUUUUCUAUGAUACUUUGGAUAAAAAUUAUAUUUAUCCCAUUUAUAAAGUAUUUUUAAAUAACUAUUUUUAGUCGUGAAAAUAAAUAGAAAAUAUGUUUCCGCUAAAUCCAUUUGAUCCAAAUUUGUACCGUUUGAUCCAUUAGAUUCACUCUUUUGCCACUCGGUCCGUUUAAUCCGCUAGAUUCGCAACGCUUGAUCCACUUUUUCAUUCGGAGCCUUAGUUUUCUUCUCCGUUCAUUUGGUCACCCAUCAUUCGAAACUUAAAUUUGAGAUUGAACAAUCAUUCAUUCUCAUUUCUACUAUUUUUUUUUAUUCGUUCCUAGUAUUUAUUAGUAUUUAUGUGAUGGUUCCCAGUUAAAAUCUAAGUCUAAUACAAUUUGAUUCACACUGGUUGUUUCUAAAAGGAAAAAGGGUCCGAAUCGAUAUGAUAUUGAUCAUGCAAUACGUCUUAGUUUUAUUUUCUAGCUGGUACAUGAUUGCGUGUGGAAUUACAACCAUGAAAAACGGAUACAGCAUAUAUGUUUCCUAGGGAAAUUUUUUUGGUCCGGAUUACUUACAGCGUUACAGAUAAAAGUAAAUAAUUGUUGACAAAAAAGUAAAUAAUUAAUUUUUCAUGUUUGGGAAUCAGAGAAAAUUAUAUAUAUAUAUAUACACAUAUAUAUUAGUAAACUUAUAUUGAUUAAGAUGGAUAAGGAAAAAAAAGAGAAAAGCAUGUGAAUGGCAGAGUUGUCGCUCAUGUGAAAGUUAGAAAAAAAAAUAAAAAAUUGGCCCGUGAUGAGACUGUCGAGUAGAGUUUAUGAAUAGUACAAAAAUUAUUCAGAUUUUCUUCUGCGUAAUCUUGGUCCACUUCAUUAUGGGAUAGCAAUAUAUAUACAUACUGGAAAGACAAUUGGAGACGAUAUUUGGAUAGUUAAUCACACCAUGGUAUCUGUGACAAAAAAAAAUUUAAAAAAUACACCAUGGUACAUAUAUACAGUGUCAACCAAAACUACAUAUAGCAAGGCCAAAAAGUGAUGAGAUCUGAUCAGGACGUCAUACAUCUACGUCCCAACCGGCAAAAAUAGCUCUGUAAACAAAGCAUAUUAUGUCGUCUCUCGCAUAUGAUUUCAGGAGAUUGGAUUUACUAUUUUUUGUGGGUUCGAAUGUCUCAGUUUUUGGGUCCAUCAAUUCUUUCACACUGCGUCUACCACAUGCAGACCGAGAUUCUAAGGAAGGACGCUUCGCCAAUACUUUUUUUAUGGACAUGUCGCGGUAAGGCAUUAAUUUAUCAAUUUUGAAGAUCGAAGUUCUUUCUACUUGAUUCUAAAAGAUUAAAGACUCUUAUUUUUUGUUCUUUAGUGUUAGAUAUGUUUUGAAUCUUGUAUGACGAGCCCAAACGAUAUAGGAUCAUUCAUAUAUAGGUUGCGCAUUUUCAUCUAGUUUAUCUUUAUUAAGUUUAAAUCCGUAAAAUUUUUAGUGAGACAAUUUUCGAACCGGGAUACUUUUAUUUAUAUUUUUCCUUGUGUAUUAUCAACGUAAUCUAGCUUCCAUUUAAUAAAAUUCGUCUUUCUCCAUAGAUGUAUCCAAUUGAUGAUGAAUCACAUUAAAUAUCUAUGUAAUUUACUUUCUUUUGUUUAUUCAUCUGUUUUUGCAUUAUUGUACAGCAACCAUUAUAGCAUUUAGCGCCUAUUACUCUUAUCUGAUAUUCUUCAAGGAACAUGAUCACCAUAAUCUUCUUUUUUUUUAAAAAAAAAAGAAGAAGAAAAUGAACACCAUAAUCAUAUGGCCGGUUCCUAAAAUCGAACUUGAACAAAAUUCAUGUAUUUUUUUUUUUUUGUAAAUGAAAUUCAUGUAUUUUAUUUUUAGUAACUUUUAUCAAUGAAUUGAAGGUUGCCAAUUUUAGAGGUGGAAUAUAAAAAAAUGUAAAAGCAAUAAACAAUAAUUCUAUUAAAAAUCAGUCUCUUGGUUCAAAGUUUGACUGCUACCUUCUCAGGACAUAAUUUGUAAUAUUCCAUUUUUUGCAACGUAAUAUUCCAUUUUGGAUAUGAAUUUCUGAUCAUAAACAAACUAUUUUAUCGUCGAUGGUAACGAUAUGAAUUGUUCUUCAAGUGUAUUCAACUUUGGAUAUGAUGAAAUUAACAUGUAGUUAAAAAAACAAGAGAGCGUUUUUUACAUAUGGAUUUGAUUAACCAUUAUAUAUACUUUGAACGCUUUUGAUUUUUUGACAAAAUAUAUAUAUUCAGAAUGAAAAAGAAGAAAAGAGAUGUCUGUUUUUGGUGAGACAACGGUACCAUCUCUCCCUCUUGUUGCACGUCGAUGGGCCUCCUUACUUGCAUGUAUAUAUGUCCUACAUUGUAUAUAUGAUAUUAUCGUUAUUGUUAUUCUCCAUUUAAAUUAUUACGACAAUGACUUUAUAAUGCUAUUAUUAAUAUAACUAACUAUUCCAAUAAUUCUAGAUAUUGUCAACAAUAAUGUAUUUUUUUGGGCCAAGAAACAAUAAUGUAUUUUUUGGUCAAAUAACCAUAAUGUAUUUAUAAUAUUCACACACGCACACCAAAGUAAUUCAAUUUUAAUAAAACAAAUUCUAGAAAUGGAUUAAAACUUCAUAAAUAUACAUCACUCUCCCGGUCUCCCUUUCCACAAAAAAAAAAGAAAUAUAUAUUAAAAACCUAACAGGACAGACACCAAAGAGUUAUCUGUCUCAGGGAUUGGACUACACAAAUGUGUUUCGAAGCUCUUGUAGUUCAGUCCGCGGCGGAGACGUCUUUGUACAGGUCAACGGUCCUAGAUUUUGCGUUACAAAAAAGACGAUUGUCUAUGAACUGAUGAAAGAAACCGAUCAAAUAUUGAACGGGUUUCAAAAUGUUGAACGGGUUAUGCCUUCACUCAAACAAAAAAAAAAAUUGAACGGGUUUCAAAUUCAAUUACAUAAUUUUAAUUUCUUAGAUAUUUGAAAAACUCAAAAGAAAUCUAGAUCCAAUGAAAUCAGAAAAAAUAUUAUUUUUUGUAAGGACAAAUUAUAUAUUUUAAGGAAGACAUGUUUUCAAACUAAAAUCGGAAUCAUACCAAAUAGAUUUGCAUUAGAAUUAAUUUUAUAUUGAUGCUACUUUUUAACCGAAAAAUUAUAGCAUCAAUAAUGCAGACUCGUGAACGUUGAAACAGAAUUGUUCAUUUUGGACCGCUAAAUUUAAAAUAUGAUGGGGACAACCCUUUAGGAUAUGGUAGGAAUAUGUUACAUACAAAGGCACAUAUUUAUGCACAUGUGACAUGUAUGUAUACAUGUAUCGAGAUAUUUAGAAAGGGGAUCAGAGGACAUACACUCGUGACAUUGCCAGCUAGUGAGGAUGACAAAUGAAAAGAAAUUGAAGAAUAAAAAGGCAAAUAAAAGAAAAUAAAAACAAAAAGACAAAGAAACUUAGCAAAGGCUGCUUGUACUCUCCAACUCAUUGACUGCCCCAUGCAAUGAUAAGACGAUAAAUGUGUCAGCCAAAUAUAAAAAUCGAAACUGUUAUUUUAACGAAAUAAAAUAAUACUAAAAGCAGUAUUCACAUCCAAAUUAUUUGACCGUAAUAUACAGAACAUAGACUUAGAAUUGACUCCACAAAUAAUUAAAUUAUUAUUUAUCUGAACUACAUAAGCCAUUAUAAAUAAUAUUAUAUAAUCUUCAUAAUCCAAGAGAAUUUAGAACUGCAAAACUAUGUAAAAUAUUAUUAUAUAAAAAAUUCUUCAUUAUGAAACAAUAAACUAUAAACUCUGAAUAUUGUUCAGGAGAAAUCCAUUUAUAUAAAACUAUAAAGGCAAAAUAUUUUACAAAAAGAGAGCUGAGUUUAGAUAAAUGUAACUAUUUAUUAUUACUUUUCUGAUAAACUUAAAUACUGAGAGACUACUUCAAAUGGGAUUUUGAUGACGACAUGCAUACCUGAAAGAUAUAGCAUGGACGUACUCGAUGAAUUCAAAACCUUUUAAUUUUUUCCCUUGGCUAGAAACUUGCAUGAUGGAUUCCAUACGGUGGUGAGCUUGUCGAACCACCACCACCAGGAUUCACAUUCAUGCUGUUUCUAUCAGCGGAAUCCGACGAAGAGCCAACUCUUUCUCUACCACCAUUCCCAUGUUGCUGCUGCUGUUGUUGUUGAAACCCUGCGCUUCCACUCAUGCUUCUUACGAUCUGUCCAACUCCAAGAAAGUCUCUAGUCAUGUUCUGCUUAUCAGCGCUUAGUCCUUUGUUCACUCCUCCGUACGUACCAAACUGAGAAUCUACUCCAUUAGCGCUGUUUCCAGUUGCGCCAGGGUUGGAGAAAGAGUUCAUCAAAUCGUGAAGAUUACUCUCGUUUUCUCCGUACAUUCCACUCCCAAAGCUUCUUAGAAUCGACGAGGCAUUGUUUGUAUUGUUGUUGUUGCUGCUUGAGGUUGAUGAACCCAUUUGAGCAGCUUUCUGAAGAAGAGCAGUGGCUGACAUGUGAGAUGCUGAAUUAGGGUUUUGCAUUGACGAGCUAAAGAGUGAAGGCACUGCUCCUGAAUUGAUUCUGCCUGCUNNNNNNNNNNAAGGCACUGCUCCUGAAUUGAUUCUGCUUGCUGAACUCAUCAGAUUAUUAGGGAAGAGACCAGUACUUCCUCCUCCGCUUCCUCCAACAGCAUUUUCACCACCAAAAUGGUUUGAAAGCAUAUGGUUAGCCGAAGGAACAGCAGCAGCAUUAGGGUUGCUUGUACCAGAAGCAAUUCCGUUGUUUCCAGAUAGGAAGCUUAGAUUGAAGAGAUUGGAGGAAGGAGAAUUAUGGUUAUCAUUUGAGAACUGCAUCAAACUCUGUUGAAAAUUCAUUGGAGAUGGCUUGAUGUUAUUGCUUGCAGCCAAAAACCCUUGUUGUUGAUGUUGAUGAUGGUCUUGCUGAUCAUGAAAGCUAGGGUUUUGCUCUUGCAUGAAGUAACCUGAAGCAUUUGCAGCAAUGAGAUCAGAGGAAGAUCGUGAGGCGCCCCCUCCACCUCCUCCGCCGCUUCCAAGUCGAAGAACGUCACCGGACUGAUGAUCAAGAUUUUGUGGGUUCCCAAUGUGGGGCAAACCAAGGAUCAUGCUUGGCGUGUUGUUGUUGGAGUUGUUGGUGGUUUGUAAGGAUCAUGCUUGAAGUAUUGUUGGAGUUGUUGGUAUUUUGUCCGUAGGGAAAGUGGUGACUUGGCAAAGAAGUCAAAGAAGUUGGGUGUCUCGCACUCUCUUGAGCCAACGCGUCACAGAAGGCUCUAUGUGUAAUGAAACUGUCUCGCCUGCGACACACCAAAAACAAAAAGAAGAGUAAUGUAACAACGGAGUCUAUUGGAUCGUCAGGUAUAUUAAUCAAAUGACGAAAUAAGAAGACAUAUUACAGUUUCAAAAAAAAAAAAUUAAGAAGAUAUAUUUCAAAAAAAAAGACAUAUUUUGGGAAAGGUGAGAGACAAAUAUUUAUAAAUAUAGAGAGAGACUCUUCAUGUCACGUAGCUUCAAAUAGAUUCGCGUGUAAUUAUUGGAUCUUGAAAAAUAGAUAGAUGGCUAGAAAGUCACUCUCCUACUCUAUGACACAUCAUAUUAUUAUUUCAGCUAUGUAAUUUUAAACAGCUUACACAAUACACACUCACAUGCCUUGAUUUAUUUACGAAUAAUGCACGUAAAUACAUAAAUAGGAGUACAAUGUUGUGUCACACUUCAACUACGAUGAUGUAUGUCCGUGUCUAUAUGAUUAUGUGUACGAGCAACAUGUAUAAAUCAGUAUACAUGCAGUAAGUAAUGAACAUAAAUAUUAUUCAAUUCCGACCAAAUAUUAUGCCUAAGAUAUGCUCGUCAAUGGAAACUAGUAAUUUAAUGUGUAUGUAUAUGUUAAUGUAUAUAUAUAUAUAUAUCUAAAUGAAUACUCAAAAGAAUCAAAUAGGUAGGUGAAAAAAAGUUAAGUUUCACAAUAGUAGCAGUAUAUGGAGAGAAUGAUUGUCAAAUGAAUAUCUGAAUCUGUCUUAAUCCUAGAUCCUGUAAAUCCAAUAAAUGCAACUUCAGCAUAUAUUCAAUGAAGGACUAAUAUGUUAUGCAUAAAUGGUUAAAUAACUAAUUAUGUAUAUAAUUAUCUACCACCAUAUUUUUAAUACCUUCGUUCCAUUUAUAGAACUCCUCUUUACUGACGCGCGCACACACAAACAUAGCAAUGCCAACCAAGACUGAAAAAUACUCCUAAUUUGAAAAUGUUUUUAAUAUACUAGUUUUUGUUAAAAUUUAAUAUAUUAGUUAUCACUUCUAUGCAGUUUGAAGCCAUUUUGUGCAAAAUGUAUAUAGUAAUUAAUCAAAAUAAUUAUGCGGUGUGUGGUUAUAUAUGGUGCAGAUUACACCCGAUUCAUGAAAACGAGUAAUAUGCUAGUAAAAUUUGCACAUAAGAGAACAAACACUGUAGCAACAACUCUCUAGAGAUAUUAUAUGGUUUAGCAGCACGUGAAUUGCCCAUAUUAUAAGAAUCUUUUUAAAUCUAAGAAAAAAAAUUUAAAAAUAUAUUAAUAAAUUUUAUGACAGAAAAUCUGGCGGUGUUUCCAAGGUAAAAUAUAUAGAAAACACAAUAAAUAAAAAAAAAAGAAAUUAAAUUGGUCCUCUUUGGUUUUGAGUUUCUGCCAGAAAGCAUCUUAUGAAAUAUGGCAGUUUCAGUCAUAUACAUAUAUAUAGGUAUAUGCACACACAUUCACGUGUGCUCAUGUAUCCAUUUUAUUUUUAUAAUUUUAAGUUAAAAGGAAAAAAGAAAGAAAUUACUGCACGAAAGAAAGCGAUAAGAGCAUCGAAGACUUCGAGGCGAAACAGAAAGCGAACCUAAGAAAAAAAACCCUAGUCUAUGAAGAAUGACCCAGACACACAUUCACACCCAUAUCAUAUAGGAUUAAUUAUAAUUUAAAGAGUUCAAAAGUUCAGAAUAUUUACCUGGAGAAGAGUGUACCACAAUCGCAACGAUAUUCUUUGGUACCACAAGUCUUGGAGUGAGCUUUCCAAUCAGAUUGAACAGCGUAACGCUUAGAACAUUUCUCGCAUUUCCACUUCUUUUCACCGUGUUUACGGUAAUAAUGUUUCUUGAUUCCGGUGAGGUCUCCGAGAGCACGUGACGGGUCAUGGUGGACGCACGAGGGCUCCGGACAAAGAUACACUUUCCUCUUCACUUCUUUGGUCGAUUUUUGCUUAAGUUUCCAUGGAAGAUUGUGUCCUCUUCGGUGAAGUUGUAGAUUCUGUUCUCUUUGAAACCCUUUGUUGCAUACUUCACAUAUGAAUCUGUUUGUAGCCAUUAGUGUCUUUGGAGAUAAAGCUAUCACUUCUGCAUCUGAAUCUAAUAGAAAAGAACAAAACAUUGAGGGUAAAAUUAUUAAUUAAUUAAAAGAGAUUUUAUAUUGCAUGGUAUGUAACUAAUUAUAAUCUCAAUCUUGGAAAAUCAAUAACUUGUGUUUGCUAAUUUGCUUAUUUCAAGAUUUGGAAACUGAGAAAAAGGAUAGAUGAAAAAGGGAUCUCUAUUUUUUACUACAUAAUGAUUUUAAAAAUUGAUCACAUGAUUUUAUAAGAUUAAGAUGAUAAGAUUUCAAUUAAGGGAUGGUAAUUAGCUUACUUGGAGUUCUUGGUUGGUUUCUUUUCUUUUUCUGUGGUGGAGCUUCAAGGGGUUGCUGAGGCUGCGGUGGCUGGUGGUGAGGAGGAGGAGGAGGAGGAGGAGGAACGGCUGCAGAGGAAUUAGGAGGAAGCAGGUGAGACUGUUCAUCUUGUCGAACUCCAAAGAAGGAAGCAGCAGAGGAUGAAGAAGCAGCCAUGGAUUCUUAUGUGUUCUGUGUGAUGGUGAGAGAGAGAGAGAGAGGAGACAAGAAAAAAAAAAAGAAAUGAAAUGAAACUAGAGAGAAGAAACUCUUUAACAUUAAUUUUUUUUUGACUUCCACUGAUAUCUUAUCUCAAUAAAGCCCUAAAAAUGGGAUAUUCCAGAUUUUAAAAUAAUAAUUAUUAAAUUUUCUCAGCGAUUUUUUUUUUAAAAUAAAUAAAAGUAUAUGUCAGGUAAUAGAAGAGAAGAUGAAAGUGACAAGUGAAAACGAGUACUAGGCUAGUGAAAAAAUGUUCACACCCAACUCAAUAGCCUAGAGUAUUAAGAGUUCAUAUUAAGUUUUUUAAGGGAAUCUAUAUAAUCAAAUUAAAUCAAUCUACCUUUGUUAGUUUGGUGUAGGUUUAAUCUCUUGUGUAUAUUGAUCUAUAUUACAUAGGAUACUAAAACUAUAUACAUGUUAUGCAUUUAAGAAAAAGUUUGUUUUGUUUGUUGCGCUAUUGAACCAAACUAUUAUAAUUAAUUUGGGUGUCGAAUAUAGACACUAACACCAAUACAGAGCAAUUGAUUAUUUUCUUCUGAAUAUGUAAAUUUUAGAAAGGAAAAUGAGAACUACAGAGGUCGGUGGACCCAAUCCUUUUGCCACAUAACGACAGUGGAUGGUGCGUGAGACAAAGCCUCAACAGCUCCUCUCCCUCGCUAACAUAUGUGAAUAAUAAAUUAAAAGUGAAAUCGGAUCUAAAAAGUUUUUUAUAAAGCAGAUUACCAUAGUGUUUGACACUAAUUAAAUAAUGUAGAAGAGCAAAUCAAAAGGUUGAAAUGAUCUGCGUACGUGAUUUCAAUACUGGAGUAGAUCCAACAUUGUAAAGUUUUCGAGUUUGAAAAUGAACUAGCUAUUUAAAUUAACAUAAUGUAAGUUUUCUACUUCUUCAUUAGCGGUUACUAAAACUAACCACUAUAUUAUAUAUAACUAAAAAUCACUAGUACUAAUUCUAAGAAAAUUCUGAUUUAUGGGUUACACUUUGUUUUUAUCCUUUUUUGCCAAAGUGCAUCCCAUCUAGUCUAAUUAUUUUUGUAAAGUUUUACAAACUCUUCUCAUAUUUAUAUGAAAUUCAAAUCCUUGGCAAAAAAAAAAAAAUCGACAACUCUGUAUUUUUAUCUAACAUAUAUAUAUAGACAGGUCUCUCGACUUUCCAAAGGUUACUACACAAAGCAUCUAAUAUUUGCUUAUAUUCUUAACAAAAUAAGAUUAUUUGUCACAAUCGUAAUCAUCAUCUCAUAUGGGUCUCUUCUUUUUGUUUUAAAAUGUUCCUAUCAUAUCAUAUUACACUUUUAUGAAUGUAUGUAUAUCUAUGUGUCAUGGAAGGUUAAAAAGAGCUAUUCCAAAAGGUAAAAAGGACAAAAGGAAGAAUGAUUGUAUAUAUUUUUCAUGUAUGUGGAAAGUAAAACCAAAAAGGAUACUCCAAAAUUUUAACUAUAUUUCGUUAUAUUCUCCCAUAUAUAUAUUCAAGCAAUUGGGUAAAAACAAAUCAAACAACUCUAUAUUAUGAUUCCCGAGUGAUAGAUCCAAACAUCUUUUAUUUAUUCAGAUAAAUUACAAAACAACUAAAUUCACACAUAAUUUUUCAUAACGUUGCUGUUAAUGUCUAUUAGUAAUAUUUGUCUUAAAGAUGAUAUAGGUUUACAGCAACCGGUAUAUUGUGCAGAAAAUUAAUCUGACAUACUGCUAUUUAAAAAUAAAUUAGUUAAGAAAUUAUUAUAAACUUUAAUUUGCUUAUAUGUAUGUUAAGAUAUUUACAGUCUUUAACAUAUUUAUUUAAAAAUUCAGUCUAUUCUCAAAAGAAAGAGAUCAAGAAAAUGAAUCCAUUGGUAAGAGUUUUAAUUGAAUAUGUUUUUUUUUUGAUGAUGAUGAUGAUAUGACGUUAUGGUUUUAUUUGAACAAUUAUUUUUGCUAUGCAAAGAAUUUUUAGGAAAAGGAAUAACAAUUGCUAUUCCCGAUAACAAUGACACUUGAACCGUAACCUUUCCUCUCACAUACAGAUUCGAACAUAAAUUCUUUCAAAUCAACAGUAAGUACAUCUAAAAAUAUGAAAACAGUGCAAGAUUUAAUUUACGAUAGAAAAAGAACUCCACCUCUUUUAGCUCGUCGAGUUUGAGGUAAGAUUUGGAAGCGUUGCUAUCAGUUGCGUGCUUCUAAGUAGGGAUUAGAGGGCCAUAUAUAUAUAUAUAUACACACAGCGUGUAAUAAAUGGGUAUGAGCAAAUUUAAGAAGAGUUAAUACAGUUUUGCUAAUCAUUAAUUACUUUAAUAAAUCACUUUCAAAGUUUUCAUAUUAUUAGCUAAAUUUCGAUUUGAAUAAAGUUGUUACUGUAACUACCAUUCAUAAUUUCAUUUAUUAAAAUUACUUUAAGAAAACAACAACAAUAGGCUCUUUUUAAACAAAAAAAAACAGGCUCUUUAAAUAUUUUCCAUUCUAGCCCCCCACUUGUGAGGAAAUUAAAAAAAAAAAGACAAAAUGUUUUUUUUUAUUCAAUCAAUUAUUAUAUUUUAAAAAUUACAACUCAACUUUUUUAACCAACAAAAUCACCCUUUGUUAGACCAUCUCCAAUAUCUUACUCUAUUUUUUACUCUAAAAUAAAGUAACUCUAUAACAGAGUUUGAGUUUGUUCCAAUGGUAUUCUAUUUUAGAGUAAAAAAUAGAGUGAUGAACAAUAAAAACAAAUUACUCUAUAUUUGGAGUAACCCUAUUUUUCAUUCUAUUAUAGAGUGAGAAAUAGAGUACCAUUAGAGCAUUUUUUACUCUAAACUAUAUUUGAGAGUGAAAAAUAGAGUGGAGUUGGAGAUGCUCUUGUACACGACGNNNNNNNNNNNNNNNNNNNNNNNNNNNNNNNNNNNNNNNNNNNNNNNNNNNNNCGCUAUUCGACCAAAAAAAGAAAUAUAUACAACGCUUAAAUACGAAUUUGGAUGUGAAUUUCUUUUUUUUUUCUUGGAUGUCAAAUUUCUUAAUAUAUGACAUUAACGUUGAGAUGUCAAAUCUUUUGCUAAAAACCCAAAACUUUAAAUCUAUAUAGUCCCCGGUUCCAAUUGCAAACGAAAUUUACACCAAUGGGUGUCUAUGACAAUAUUAUGCUGUUGAAAUAAGAUUUUUUGAAACCAUAAUUAUCUCGAUCUCUAUGAAAUUUAUUUUUUUACCACAUAAAAUUUUGAAAAUGAUGAAGUUAAAUGAUUAAUUUGGGUCCUAUGUAAGGAAAACAAAUUUUUGAGGCAGUAACAUAAUUCAGAUAAAGUUAUGUAAUUUUAUAUAAUUUUCUGAAAACAGACUAAUAUAUGGGUAUUUUGUCAAAUUUUAUUUUGGAAGUUUAUGUGUGAUUAUUACCAACAAGUUACAACAGUUAAUGCCACGUGUAAGUCAUGGAGAGCCUAUAAAAUUUUCAUAUCUAUCUAAACAUAUGUUUUGCCACUUGUAAGUUAAUGAAAAGCUAUAAGUCUCUCAUAUCUUUUUAAGUAAAAUUUAUAAAUUAUUAAGAAAAAAAUUGUGCCGGGUGUAAGUCAUGGAGAGCCUAUAAAUCUUUCAUAUGUAACUAAGAAAGCAUAUGACCGCGUGUAAGUCAUGAAGAGCCUAUAAACCUUUCAAAGAUGGUAUCUUGAAUAACAAUAUUGUCGCGAACGUUACAAAAAUUGCCUUUUAAUGCUAAACUUUGUUCUUCACUCUGAGUUAGUUUGAGCUUAAUAUUUCACUUUUUGUUUGUUCUUUUCUUUAAUUGACUUAUCUUUCAAGGUCAGAAUCUUUAUAUCAACAAGAAAUUGAGCAGAUAUUACAAUAAACCAAAAACUAGUAGACCUUAAAAUGCUAAUUAAUUGGCUGAUUACAUGAACUCAUACCUCGAGAUAUUAUAUGGGAAAAAAAGAGAUAUUAUAUGGGUUAUCAUUACAUAAAAUGGAGGGAAUCUUGUAUCUGACGUUCAAAAGAUUGCCUAUCGUUUUAAUGUGAAACAUAACUAUGCAAAGGCACUAAACAUUACAUUAAUUCAGAAAGAAGUACAAAAUUAAAUUCGCUAAUGUAUCAAGCCGAAUGCAUAUAGUGUCCUGUAGUUUGAAUUUUGUUCAAGUAGUCUGCCUUGGGUUCGAGAGUUUAACUGAAAUGUACAUAUAAGAGUGUUGUUGAUGUAUAGAUCGCACGAAACAAAGAGUGCUGCAGAAGAAUGUCAAAUAAAUCUUUAAGAGAAGUUUGAUAUCUUCAAUCUAGGAAUGUUCUUAUUUACCUUCACAUAUAUGGUUUUGUUGUCGGAACUAUCUAUGCGAAUGAAACAAGUUCUUAUAGGACUAUCAUAGACAAAUCUUUUUUUAAUAUACCAAUGAUCGGUUUAAUUAAAACAAAUGCCCGAUAUGUUGUUAAUAUUUGUUCUAGUUUAUUUCGAUGCUUCUAAUUCUUCACAUUUAAUUUCAAAUAUAAAAUAUUCCCACCGGUUUGGAAUUGUGCAGACAUAUUAAAAACAUUUAAUUUUAUACAUUUUCUUAACAGAAACAUCAUAAACUAUAUAACUAACCAUAAUUAAACUAAUAAAAAUCAAGUUGCAUAAUAUAAGAAGUCAUAUAGCAUACAAUCAUUAAAGUUAACAUUAAAUUUGAAAACAUCAUGUAAUUUGAAACAAAAAGUUUUCUUCAAAACAUCAUCUAUUUAAAAACAAGGGGAGGGGGUAUAGUUUUAUUUUAGUUAAUUAAUGUAACCAUGAACCAAGUUAUUCACUCUUUUCUUCAGAACGUCAAGUUAUUAAAUAUAUGUGUAUAGGCUGUUGACAAAAAAAAGGUGUAUAGGCUACGUGCAGGUUGUUGCGGCACAUGGUGGUUUCUUCUCUUGGACUAGGGACGUAAAUUUGUUAGUUCAUAUAAUUUGUCAUCACAUAAACGUGUACCCACUUCAUCAUUUUACAUGUAACGAUUUCCAGUAGAUCACUUACAUGAGAAACUUCUUAUUUUAUAACUCUGUUUACAUUUCAUAUUUCUUUCUGCCAGUUUUUCAAUUGCAUAAAACAAUCUGGCAUUAACCGUUUGUAGUUUGUCCACCAAACGUCAAUUUAAAUCUUGCAUGUUGAGAUUACACUUUGAACACAUAAAUGUGCUAGAAAAUAUUUGUUAAAAAUUGCAAAUAUUAAUGAACAAGUACUCCUCAUUACUAGAGAAAAUGGGCUCUUCUGGCACAACAAACAAGACAUUUGCAUUAUGUGUUCCUCUUUGAGAACGAUCGGUGAUUUUUACAGAACUUGGCUUCCAUCAUUCUUCUUCUUCAUGUAACAAAAACAAAUCUCUAUAUACAUUUGUAAACACAUACACACUUCACUCUUGGGAUUCUCCUGGUGGCUCGCUCUCUUCGUCAUACAUAGACUCAUCAUAUCUCCGAAGUGAAUCAAGACUGCAAACAAACAAAAACAAUCAUGAUUUCCUUAAACAAUCGCUAGUAGAAAUAAAACAAGAUGGAUUCAAAUUUAAAAAAAACCUGCAAUUCUGAGGAACUUUCCAAGAGAAACCAGACUCCUGUUUAAGAUGAAGUGGUAAAGCCAUAAAGUCUCUCCAAUCUUGAAGCAUGAUUCUAAGAUCAUGAAGCUUACUAUCCAUACCAAAGCAGCAAUUCGCAUGCAUGGUACGAACCAGAUUCAUAUCUUUGCUUGGUUCACAGAGUCCACCAAAAUACGCCGUGUUCAAGAACCUAAUCCUAAGCCCGAUCCGGAAAACAAAAGGCUCCCUCUUGAUGAAGUUAAGAACGUCCUGGUCGUGAUACCCCGAGUACCUGAUCCGUGAAGCGUACCAGUACUUGUAGAAGAGUAUAGUCCUGUUGUUAGACCGCACAAAGCUAAACCCUCCGUUAGGUCUAUUCUCUAAAUCAUUCGACCUUCCUAAGUAAUGGUCACAAGCGAUCUGGAAGUCAGCGUAUCUGUAAAACCGCGUAAAAGGGUUCCUGAACCACAUCACAUCAGCAUCCUGGAGAAGCAAAGAAAACCAAAUCAUUUUCAAGAACAUGAAACCUGAACACACUCGUUCAAGAAAAUGUUUAUACCGUGAAGACAAAGUUGUAACCCAGUUCAAGAACAGAACGCAAGAAAUCGAUUCUUCUCCACAUCAUCUUCAAGUAAGAACGAGUCAUGAAGUAAGCCUCCUUUCCCGAGAAAUCAACACCUUCUGUUUCGAGACUGAAGCAAUGCUUGUGAAGCUCUCGGCAACGGGAGUAAGCUUUAGCAUCCAGAGCAAUGAUCACCAAAUGGUUUAAAAGCAUGCCUGUUCCUUCACCGAUUCGAAAACUCUCGAAGAAGAGAUCGAUAACAGAGCCAGGAGCAGCCCAAGCUUCGUUCAAAGUCGUUAGAAUCACAGUGUUGUCUCGAGUUGCAGCUCUACGAAGAACAUCUUCAAGCUUAGGCUCUUCAAGCUCCUAACAUCAAGCUUAGGUUUAGAUAACAUCUUCAAAUCAAGAGAUCAAACUCAAAUGCUAACUUAGUUUCUAAAUUUGGGAACCGAUCAAAGCCUAAAUCAAGAAUCGUACUCUACAUUCGUCGAAUUUCAAAAUGUUCUGGUGACAAUGUGAAAGCGAAGAGGAGGAAGAAGCUAACCAGAGACUGGAAGGAAUCGAAUGAGGGGAAAAUGCGAGAGAAGAUCGAGGAGGAGGAGCGAGGGACGGCGUCGAGGGAAUCAAGGGAUCGGUAGAGGACGAAGAUGGAGAUGGAAAUGGCGAGGAUGAAUGUAACGGCUCGGCGUAGGGGACGGGAGCACGGCGGCAUGACGAAAGAAGCUACGGCGGAGGAGGAGCGGUUAGCGUCGAGGGACGAAACGUGGAGCUUCGUCAUCGUCUUGAGCCUCGAGGGAAGACGGUGCGAUAGAUUCAUCUACACCGACCAUCGUCGGCACCGACGCCAAAAACUUAAGUUAAUUUUAAGACUUUAUUUGGGUUUUUUCCUUUUUUUUUUACUAUUUUACCUAGAGAAAUUACUGGAUGGAUGGGAUAUCAAUAAAUGAUGUAUAAAUAACUUUUCUCUUCCCUUUUUAAUUUUAAAUCUUCCAGAUAUGAAAUAAAUCAGCAUAUUGUUUUGAUUAUAGUAUGAUUUAAGUUUUGGAAUUGUGUUUUAUUAUUGGGGUUAAAUUUAUUAUUAAAGGUUUCAGUUUGACAUUAACGUUUAUGUAAAUUUUAUUUGUUUUGAUUAUAUCAAUAAAUGUUGUUUAAAAUAACUUUUCUCUGCUAUUUUUCUAAUUUUCGUCAAGUAUAAACUUCCAAAAAUGAAAAAAAAAUCAGCAUCUUGUCUUGAUUAGGAUUUAAGUUUUGGCUCUGUGUUUUAUUAUUGGGUUAAAUUCAUUAUUACAGGUUUCAGUUUGAUAUUUAGUGUUUAUGUAAAUUUUAUUUUCAAGAUUUGCUCCAUUAACUUUAAAUCUCUGAUAAACAAGAAAUCCUAGGAGUUUAACAACAAAAUCAUCUGAAAUGUUUUCACUGGGACUAAUCUAAGCAGACAGAUAUUUAUUUACUGGUUUCAACUGCUGAGGAGAGAAACUGAAAGAGUAAGGUUGAGAUCAAUCUUUGGUGAAGAAGAAGCAAAGCAAUCUUUGAAGACGAAUGGUGCAGAACAAGUGGAGACUGCUUCACUCGUUUCGCUCACUGAUGACCCGUUGCUUCUCCAUUGAUGAUGGUUCAAAGACAGAGACAGCGACAAAUCUUCCUCUUCUUGUUCUUUCCCACUGUUCUCCCAUUUGUUCUUCUCCUUCUCUGUCUUCUAUUGAGGACAAGACAAACAAAUAAAUCAGCUUCUAAACCGGACAAGAUUCGGAUUGUGUUACCCCAAUUUCAAUAAACCUAAAAAGUUAUAAUAAACCUAAGCCGGAAAAAAAUCUGAGUUCUAAUGAACCUUAAGUUCCUAUGACAACUAGGUAACUAAACCGGACACGACUCGAUUUUUAAAUUUCACCCAGUUUCAGUCAAACCGGUUAAGACAGCAAAUCAAAAUCUAAUGUCCAAUCUAGAAUCGAAGGAGAAACAUUAUUGAACCGGCCUGGAUUUAAUUUUGCUUAGGCUUCAAAAUUAAAUCCAAAAGUAUAUAAUGAGAGUAUAUUUUACUUUUUUUUUUCUGAACAACUAGAGUAUAUUUUACUAAUUAGAUGAAACUACACGUUGACAUAAAAGUUAAUAAAACAUACCUUGUGGCAUUGAUGUGAUGGAAACGCCGUCGUUUCUUUCGUCUUCUCCAUGUUUAUGAUGUGAAGAAAGUCAUCAUCAUCAUCACCACCACCAGACUGUGAAGUCUGAUUCUCUCUUCUUCCUCCUCUGUGCCAAAGUAAACAAUAUUAAAAAGUACAAUUCAAAUACAGACAAAAGGGUAUAUUAUGAUAGCUUCACUGAUACAAAAUUAAAAACAUGUCAGAAAAUAUAAAUGAAUAAAAAUUUACCUAAGAGAAGAAUGUGAAGAAAGAGGAAACGAGUGAAACCCCAAAAGACAAUCAUUCCUUGAGGGUAAAGACAAGUUGUCAUGAAGAUAAUCUUCUUCAGUGUCUUGUCUUCUUCUUAUUGAAGAUAAAGAGCUUUCCUCUGUCCCCAAAAAUGAAAAAAUAAUAGACUAUAAUGAAUAUUCCCUUGAUCAAUAAAAAUAAUUUGUUUUAAUAUAAAAGAAAGCUAUAUGUAUUUAUAACAAUUGUCUUAUGAAUCAUGACACUAGACCAAUAGUACAUACUACAAACAGAUGCUGUAAAACAAUUAAAUUCCAUCCAUUAUUAUAGUUUUGAUGUUAACAGUUCAGAUUAAAAUCAGCGGUCCAGUUCUUCUAUAAAUCAUAUCAUUUCAGAAUAUUUAUGGAAAAAAAAAUGGACAAAAAGUCCAUACCUGAUUUGCCCAAAGUGAGUUUAGAACCUCUAUACAUCUGUUGUAUGUGAUGAAAAAAGAAGAGACAGGGAUUUUAAUAUUCAAGAUACUAUGAAAAAGAUAUAAGGCUAAGAGAGAACAAAACUAACGUCAGGUAAAUCUAUUACCUGGAGAUGGCUCUUGACAUGUGAAAUGGUGAGUCCCCUCACAUCCAUCAUCUUAAGAAUAAGCUUUGGAGUGGCUCCUGUUUCAUAAAACCCAACAUAAAUACAACGAGAACAAAAAGAUUAAAAAGGUAACUAUGAUGAUUCUUUAUGUUGACUAUUCAUGAAAAAGGUAAUGAGUAACUUUAAUAUUUUGUAGAGCAUGAAACAUAAUUGCAAAAGUGUGACUUGCGAGCAUGGUUCAGAAACUUGACGAAAAUUAUUCUUGAAGGAUGAUGACAGAAAAUAAUGAGAAAUUUUCAAACUUUGGACGAAAUAUCCAAAAAAAUAAUAAUAAAAAACUCCAAACUUUAGAUAUAGGAAUGAAACAAAGUAGCAAAAGUAUGAAGGCAUCGUUCAACAACUUGACAAGAUGAUAAAAAUGUUUAUACUUAUUAGAAAUUCCCUAACAAAUCCAAACUUGAAGACAUAUGGAUGAAACAAAUUAGCAAAAACUGUGAGGUUUGGUUCAAAAACUUGACAAAACAAUGAGAAAAUUCCAAUCUGUUUCGAAAAAGAUCCAAAAAUUCAAAACUUAAAAUAUAUAUAUUUAAGUGAAACGAAGUAGCAAAAAGUGUGAAGCUUUUCUUCAAAAACUUGAAUAAAACAAAGUAACAAAAGGUUGCAUUUUUGUCGAAAUAUUGAAGGAGAAAAGAAACGUACUAUGUUGGCCACCAAGCAUAUCGACGGCGUUUAGGAAACAACGGUGGAGCUCCGGCGUCCAUCUGAGUCGAGGCACUGGAGACCGUACGUAUGGCCUAACUCUGCCGCCUCCGUGACCGUUAAAGCCAACGUCGUUGCCGUUUCUUCCACCACACGUACCCAUUCCUUCACAAAUCAGUCUCAAGAACCCUAAAACGUCUUUUAGAUUUGGAGCACAGAAACCAAGAACAGAAGACAGAGAAACGUAGGAAAGGAUUUGUGGGUAUGUGUUGGAUUUAAAAGAGCAAGUCUCUUUUGUUUUCUGAAAUGGUUUUGGCUUUUUCUAAAAGAUGACUGUCUCUUUUUCCAUCUAUUCUUUUUGUCUUUUUGAAUGCACUCAUACAUAUAUAUAUAUAUAUACACCCCUCUUUACAUAUAUAUCUGCAAAAUGCCAAAAACUAAUUAUUAGACCUUUUUAGAAAAGGUUCAUUCAUUUUUAUUUGCCGGAUAUUCCAUUGUAGUUGUGUUUAAACUGGAAUUGUAAUUGAUUUAUGUUUCGAUUUUGGAUUUUGUUUGAUAUAUAGUUUAGAUUUAAUUUGAAAUAUUAAAUUCUAAGUAAAAUUUAAUAUCAUUAGAAAUUUUCUGAUUUGAGCAUCAUAUAAAAAACAUUAACACAAUUUGGAUAAGGGCAAUUGUCAAUAAUAGCACCUUUUGAAAUUUAUGUCUCAAAAAUAGCAUUAGAAGGAGAAAGUCACAAAAAUGACAUUCAUUAAAGGGUAAAAUAUCCCUAAUACCCUUGGUUUAAAAUUAAAUAAACAAACAAAAAUAAAUAAAAAUAAAUAAAAUAAAAAUGAAAAAAAUGAAAAAAAGAUUUUUUUUUAUAUAGUUUCAGAUUAUAUGUUUUCAGAUUCGAAAUUUUUACAAUUUUUUUUUCUCGAAAUUUUUUAUUUUUUUUUUCAAAUUUUAUUUUUAUAAUUUAAAAAUACUUUUUAAAACUGUUUUUAAAAUUUUUUUUUUUAUUUUAAUAUUUUUUUUUUAUAAAAUUUUAAACCCUAAUUCCAAAACCCCACCCCUUAACUCUAAACCCUAAGGUUUGGAUUAAUUAACCCAAGGGGUAUAAAUGUAUAUUUACCUCUUUAAUGAAACCUAUUUUUGUGACUUUGAACCUUGAGUGCUACUUUGGGAACAUAAACUUGGUUUGGUGCUAUCCUAGUCUUUUUCUCUUUGGAUAAUUAUAUUUACAAAUCAAAAUUUGAAUCAAAUUAUGUAAAAUAUUAUUUCAGCUUAAGAAAAUCUAAAAAAAAACGUAAGAAAAUCUACACUGAAAAGAGCUAAAACCAUAGGUUUAUGAAUUGUUCACGACAUACGUGAAGAUUUGGCGAUACUCAGAUCUCGUAAAGACAUUUUUUUUUUAUAACGAAGGUAUAAAAAGUAACCAGCUGGAAUGUUUUAGUGUUUUUAUUUGGUACUUUAUAAAUUUGUUUAUUAAGAAAAACGAGGUGAGAUUUGUUUUUUGACGUAGCUACAAGGACAUAGCCAUAUAUAAUCUACAAAAAUGGUAAUUAUACGAAAAUUGUUUUGGCUUUGGUUACAUCAGCCUUGACUCUUGACCCCAUUAUUAUUAUUAUCUUAAAAUAUAUAAAUAGUUUAAAGAGAUGCAUAUCAACGUACCAGAGAAUCAGAGAUAUCUACACAAGGCUAUAAUAUACAACUUGCAUGCAAAAAAAGAACUGACUACUUUUGAUCAUCCAAUACUAAUCUCUUGUCUACACAUGGGUCUAUAAUAUUUACCUUGUAGGGAUUUGAGAUUUACCCCAAUGAACAAGUUUCGUCUAACACUUCAUCAGACUUUUUACUCGCUCUUUUUCACCAUAUAUUGCCCCAAAUUUAUAUAGGCCAGCUGCUGCUAAGCUUUGACCAUAGCAUUAAUAAUUGUUCCUAUUUUUGUUUUUCGUUGGGGUUUCGUGUUUAACUUUCUGAUUUCAGAAACUUACAACGGUCCUUCCUAAUAUCUUUUGGACCACCGUUUUGACUUCGUUCCCUCCCCCCCUAAUUCUCUAUUAUUAUUUGUGUUCUCUCAUUUCCCAUUCAUUUUGUUUCUAUAUAGGUUAUUGCCUACGGUUUUGGCACAUCUAAAUAUUCUAUGAAAAGUUAUAUAUUUACAUUGCAUAUUGUAUCUUUUCGAAUAAUCAUAAGUAUUAACAAAAUCAACGUUAGAUUUUAAAUAGUUGAAAAUCAAAACUCCUGAAGUCCUAGAAGAGAUUUUAGAUCUAAUAAUAACUCUAUAAACUUUAAUCUAAAAGGAUAAAGAUUUUUCUUUGACAUAACUUAUGGUUAACUCAAAAUGAAUGAACCAGAAAUUAUUUUAGAACAUUUUCUUAUCCAUAACAACUCUGCCAUCUCAACAUGUAAAACUGAGAGACUUCUGAUGUAUCCACUGAAUCCAAAUGAUUCAACAUCCAUUAUUUUGAUCUUUAAAACUCUACAAUAAACCACUAACUAGGUCACUGUUGAUUCAUGAAUCAUCAAUUUGACAAGUUAGGAAGUAUUCAAGAAAUCAAUUUGACAAGUUAGGAAGUAUUCAAGAAGACAGCCUCAAUGAAAGGAUCAUCAGGUUUCUUCUUCUUCUUUCUCUUUAAGAUUUGCCUUUCUCCAGUAUUUUUUCAAGAGAAGCAAAUUUUAAAAGUGUUGACUAAGAGGUGUCUUUUCCAUUAAAAAUUUUAUCAUUCGUUAUUUUCAAAUGUAUCAAAUGGUUCAUGUGAUAAUAUCAAAUUGUGGUUCCACUGAAAACAUCUAUUACAACAAAAUUUUCUUCUAUAUUUUUCUUUGUAAUAAAAACCUGUAAAAUAGAGAUGAGUUAGAAAUGCUUUUAGGCCAUAUAUAAUUAAUCAUUUCUCCAGUUUUCUAUCUAGGGAUCCAAUUAACUUGUGAUAAUUUUUAAUUUAAUUACAAAAUUCUGGAUCUUAAUAGGUUCUCUUGUCCCGAAUAAGUUCGUUUCAAAUCAACUUCUGAUAAUACUUUUAGUGAGCAUAAAUCAUCCCUCGAAAAAAUAUUAAAGAAUACAGUAUAUGUAAUCUCAGUCCCUCCUUUUACCAACACCGUCCGACUACAUGCAUGUCUUAUAAAUUCCAUUCGGGACAGAUUUCAUACUAGUAGUAUUUCCUUUACAAAAAUCAUAAUACUUUAUUAAUUAUCCCACGGUUGGUUACUCGUUACUCACAUUACGUGUACGAUUUCUCGUAGUAUUAUAGAUAAUAGAUUCCAAGUUAUUUAUAAGACAACUCACACGUGGUUUCGCGCUAUCAAGAAGUGCAAAAAAAUUUGAAAGCCUUUUUUCAAUAAAAAAAAGAAGUGCAAAAAAAUAUGAAUAUUAAUUUAAGAGGAUAAAAUAAUAAACAAACUUAACAAAGUUAUUUAUUGAAAAAAAAAAAACUUAACAAAGUCGUCGUCUUUUUAUUUUAAACAAAACUAAGACCUUUACCCAAGGAAAAAAACAUAAAUCAGACACAAUCAAAUAGAGGUGUCAUUGACCUUUAACGUAGACUACUAUGCUCUCUCUCCCUUUUCUUCUCAUUCAAUACAUUCUCUAUAUUAUUAUAAACAUGUGGAAUUCUGCGUAUAUACCAAAUCGCUUUAUAUACCAAAUCGCUAAAGCGAUUUAAGAGAAUUUAAACAAUGAUGCCCCAUGGUUGAGAAAAGAUUAAUGUUUGAUUAGACGGUAAUUGCUAAUUAGAAUAUUAUAUUCAGUCACCAGCUUUUCAAAGAUACCGAAGUUACGUAUAUUAUCUAUAUAUUCACCAGAAGAAUGUUACAGAAAGCUAGGUUAUGAUCAUUGUUCAAAAUAAAUAAUCAAAAGAGAGACAAUACAAAUGAUCAAACUAUUGGACUAAGAUAACAAAGUCUCAAAAAGGCUACAACUUGAGAGAUUUGUAGCCUUCUUGUAUUCCUUAUAAAACACUAUUAACAUCCAAGACUACAAAAAUUUCUGGAUCAUAUUUCCUAAACUGAUAUUUAAAUUAACUGUCAUAUGGUUCACCCGUCAUGCAUAGACUGUUGAAGUAAACACUGAAAUAUUUUUCCUAAUAUAUAAACGGAAGUAGUUAAAAAGAAUGGUUUUUCCUAAGGUUGUAACUAAUAUAAAUACUGAUUAUUUGUAUGCCAAAUCGACUAUUUAUUAAAAUUAACGCGCUUUCGCUUUAGACUAUAUAAUAAAAUUUACAACACAAACAAUAAAAGAGAACAAAUUCAAGGUAUUGUGAUAUAAGUUUCAUUCAGUGAUAAAAAAAUAAGGAAAAGUGGGAUAAAAAAAAUGAAAACAAUACAUUUAAUGAGUGUGGCAGUUGACAAAUAGCUCCAAGAGAAAUUGAAUGAGUAAAUUGACUGUAGAGGUCCAUGAUUCAUGGCUUUACCAAAAUCAAAACAUUCAAUAGUUCUCUUUGUUUGUUUGUUUAUCAUACCAAGACUUUAUACAUAUAUGUAAAGAUAAUGUAACCCAACUGGAUUUGGAUACCAAAACGAUGAAAUUCUCUUUUUUUUUUGUUAUUUGGAUGUGCAAAUCUCACCAAACUAUAGAUUUGAUACCUGUUAAUAUUUAUUUUUUUGGGGGGUCAAUAUUCUCAUCACCCACUGAUUAAGUUCAGUCAUAGACUCAUAGCACAUGCGAGCACAAGGCAAAUUCCGAGACAAUAAAUAAAUAAUAUAAAAAGGGUGCAAUCCAUAAAACACCUAGAGAGAAGGGAGAAGAAUUAGCCCUUCACACUUGAGAACAGUAAACAGAAGAACAAAAGUGAAAGAUAGUAGUUUUUUUUUUUUUGUCAUCUGGUAGAUUUAUAUUAACUUGAAAGGGGAGUACACAAAGCCAGCAAAGAUGAUUAAACCUUUCUGGAGCCAUAAGCCGGUGAGGUGAUGAACACCAUCCGGAGGCACAGAUUGAUACAAAUUUGAAACUAGAAACUAGACUAGAUGAAAGCACAUAAGAGGAGGAUGGUUAAGAUACAUGAGAUUGCAACAAUGGUGAAGUUGACUGGAUACGGACGAUGAUUAGAGAGUGAGAGCAGUGCACACCUAAUUAACUGAGUUUCAAGGUAGUAUCCAAGAGCGCUUCCAACAGCGAAACCCGCUCCAACACCACACAAAGAACUACCGGAAACUCAAUCACAAUUAACACACGCUGAGAAGAACAAAGAAGUAGACUGGAGGAACAAGAACAUCACCAAAACAUAAACUGAAUCGCGAGAGGUUAGAAUCCUUAACCGUAGCUGAACACACUCUUCAAUCCCAACUUCAACUCGCCAUUGGACCUUGAGAGGGCUCUCUACGCGCCUCAUACGCACCAACUCCUUGCCGUAAAAACUUUUAGGAACUUACGACUUAUUCACACAGCCGGUAACUGGAUAAAAACCACUCGAAAUCCAAGACUAAAACGAUCACCUCGGUGGAAAUCGACCAACAAUGAAGCAUUUGUUCUGUUACACAUCUAUCUCCUUCUGAUCCUCUCAGAGCUAAAGAAUCGCACGCACAGGCUCUGCCCAUCAAAGAUCAAACAACCACCAGAGAUGGCUCCAACGAACCGAGACUGCACUCCCAAGACUAAGCAAAACUCCAAACCACAACCGCAGCUAAACCUCACGCAUCCCUCCUCAAUGGCCAUCACCAAUGACAUUGCUAGGGUUUGGGCCUCACCGAACAGAGAAAAUUGGGACACCAAACCCUAAGCCAACUAAAUCCGACCCCCUACAGACCCUCCUAAGCUCCUACAACUCACCUUCACUCCAGAUUGAAAGAGAGAAGCUUCAAAUCGAGAUCUGACGACCAGAUCUGAAUGACUCCGUCAACUUCCGUCACCAGGGCGAGAAGCAUAUCACCGAAGGAGAAGAGAGCUGGCAGGGGGCAAAGAAACAAGAACCAACGGAGCCGUAACCGACGCACGCGCCGUCACGGCCAGAGUGAGAUGAGAUCUACGAUGUCUUCACGGGCGGCGCACUUUCAGAAUAUUUUCACAACUUAAGAGAUCCAAUAUUUAAAAUUGUGAAAGAUAGUAGUUUAAAAGUGUGAUUUAGGAAUGGAUGGGCCACAAAAGUCUAAUAUAUAAAUUACAAAGACAAAGUUUAAUGCAUGGCUAUGUGAAAAGUUUAGAGUAGUGAGUGCAUAAUUAUUGGAAGUAGGACCAAACAACUCUUGACUUUUCAUCCUUCGGGAUUGGAAUUUAGGUUUAAUAUGUUUUCUUAGCAUAACCUCUUUUUGUUUCAAAAAAGCAUAACCUCUUUUAUUCUCUCAUUCCAUGUUUUUUGGCCUUCUCAUCAUAUAUCACGGAGAUACGCUACAAAGUAGUAACAUGUGCAUCCAUCUACACAUUCGUAUAAAAUAAGUUAAAUUGUAGAUUAUUAUAUGAAAGUUAAUAUUUAGGGUCAAAUAUAGGGGAUUUCGCUUAUCUUGUUGAAGACAUAGUUGACAAACGAAAAAUGUUGAAGACAAUUUUUUGGCUGAAUAAAUUUAACUCGAUGUAAAUGUGGAACCUAUAGAAAAGCAAUUGUUUAUAAUUGGCUGAAUAAAUGUAUAACUCGAUGGUUGACAAAAAAAAAAUAUAACUCGAUGAAGACGAUUGUCUACAAAAUUUAGCAAAAAAAAAAAAAAAAAAACGAUUGUCUAUAUUAAAUAUAAUUGGCUGAAUAAAUUUAACUCGAUGAAAUUGUUUAUAUUGUAUAUAAUAUGUUCCAUUUUCUCUCUCUCAAAGAUUAAAGAUAGAAAAACGAACAAAAAGAUGAGUGUUUGCAUCUUAUUUUUUUUCUUUCUGUGAAACAGUUUCACAAAGUUAAACAAGAGGAAGAAAAAAAACGAAAAGAGAGAUAAUCUUUGAACAUCUGAGAAUGUAGCAACAAAUUUUUCAUCACCAACAAGAAGAAAAUACUGAAAAGCAGAGCCCCACCUUCUUCACAGUUCCAGAGAUUCCCUGUCCAAAUAUUUCAGAGUAUGAAUUAGGACACAGAAGAAGAAUGAGCAAAAGAGUCAGGUGAAACAAAAUCAUUGACAUGCUAGAGAAUCUCAGACCAAACAUUUAGUACGGGUGUCUGUCUAUAGAGCAGAGAAACACCCGUUACUGUCAAAUCAUAGUGGCAAGGACAAUGAACAUUGUAGUACUCAAUGGCAAGUGAGAAGGUAUAAAUAAAGAGAAUAUUCAUGUAGCUGUUGUGACACUGACCGACAUAUGCAUAUACAAUCCACCGAAUCAAGGAGUGUGUAUCUGCUUUGCAGAAUCUUUAAACCAGAAGAUGUUCAGACACAGGCCUAAAUCUGUAGUGAGUGCUGUAAUUUCACAAUGCUUCUUACAGAUUCAUAUAAGUACAACAUAGUGACUAGCCACGAUAUCUAAGAGACAGUUUACAAGUUCAAACAUUGACCAAGCAUAAGAGUUUGUAAGCCUAGAAGUGGGAUAACAUAAAUGUUCAGAGGAAUGUAUCUUCUGAACAUAUGCUAUAUGCAUAUAUAAUCAACCAAAUAAAGGAGUGUAUCUUCUUGCAGAAUCUUUAAAGCAGAAGAACAGAGCUAAGUGUGUAGUGCGUGCUGUAAUCACAAAGCGUCCUAAGGAUUUAUAAAUAGCAACACCAAAGUAACUAUAGCCAUGAUAUCUGAGAAACAACUUACAAGCUACUACUGAGUAGUACUUUAAGCUAAAUUGAGUGCAAAAAGAACUCUCUAGGACUAACAAAACCUGCAGAGAGUCGAGUUAACGAUGGAACUAGGCUUAUCCAAACUUGAGACAUCACUGAUUGAGAUGGCUUACAAGAACAAACAAAUGCAAAGAAGAACAAUUCGUCAAAGAAGACUCUUUCCUCAAAACUGAAUCCAAUAUUAGUCAAAUGUUCAAAUCUAAACACCAACCAAUCUCAUUCAAUUCGGAACCAAACCUAAACCGAAAAAUGGAACCACGAAUAUCUAAUUCAAUCAAAUCACCAAGAAGACCCGAUGAACCGGAGACUAAGACACACAUUAGUGCGUUCUGUGAUUCUUCAUAAGGAUUUAGCAAGUAACACGAAGUGACUGUAGCCUAUCUGUGACACAAUUUACAAGCUCACACAAUAACCAAGCUUAAGGCUUUCAAAGCCUACAAGUAAGAGAACAUAAAUCAAACAUAAUAUAUAUAGUCUAGCAAAUUUGAGCUGCGUCCUGUUAAUCAGCGAAUCUCUUCUUCCGGCUUAGUAAAAAAGCAGAAGAACAGAGCUAAGUGUUCAUUGCCUGCUGUAAUCACAAAGAUUCCUAAGGAUUUAUAACUAACAACCCCAAAGUAACUGUAGCCAUAAUAUCUAAGACACAAUUUACAAGCUCACACACUGAUAGUGUUAAUUACUUCCUACUUAAAGACUAAUGUAUUAAGCUUUUGAGUGUAACAGGAAACAAGACUAACACAACCUGCAGAGAGUCGAGUUAACGAUGGAACUAGGCUUAUCCAAACUUGAGAUAGCUUACAAGAACAAUCAAAUGCAAAGACGAACACAUUUCUCAAGCAUGAUUGAUCCAAAAAAGGCUUAUGCUUGUGGUGUAAAAGAAGACUCUUUCCUCAAAACUGAAUCCAAUAUUAGUCAAAUGUUCAAAUCUAAACACCAAACAAUCUCAUUCAAUUCGCAACCAAACCUAAACCGAAAAAUAGAACCGCGAAUAUCUAAUUCAAUCAAAUGGAACCGGAGACUAACCGGGAAGCUGGAAGAUCGAACCGAGGAGGGGCUACGCAUUAGCGGUCUUAGGGAUAAGAGGAACACCGUUCCCUUGUAGCUUACUCUGUUUAGCCUUGGCUUCUUCCUCGCGGAUCUUCUGCAUCGCGAGCAUCCUCUCCAUCACGAGCUCGUACUCGCACUUCUCGUACACGUGGCGCUCGUCCUCGCACUUCCACGGGAGGAAGAACUCAGCCUGGCGACAUUUGUUGAGCGGCAUCAGGAGAUGAGCGCACUGAUCUCUGUAUCCGAGCGGUACUUUGGCUGCCACCAUCUCUUCCUGCGUUGCGAUCAUCUUCUUCGAUGAACCUGGAACCUCCAUUUUCCUCUCGCGAUCCCUAACCUCUCUCCUUCUUUCUCUUUGGCGACUCCGAUUUGCUUGACCCGGACAUACUCAGGUUUUUUUUGUUCCGGGUCAUAGUUUAAAUGGGCUCAAUUGGUAUACUAAGCCCAAGUUUUAUUCAAUGGUCUUUUACAUUUUUUCGACAACAUUUUAAGUUAUAUACAAAAGAUGAACGAACCACUGAUGGUGGAUUCUGAGAACUGGUCUUUACUUAGCCAAAAAAAAAAAUCAUAAACUUUUAGUUUGAUUUAUUUUAGCAUUCAAUUGUUAAUUUUUUUUUAUUUUGAUCUUGUUUUUACUAAAUUGUUUUAGAUAUACAAAAAUCAACUGUUAAAUCGAUUUUAGCAGUUAAUUUUUCACUUAUCUAAAACGAUUUAGUUUUAAAAAAAAGAUUAAAUAAACGAUUUAAAAGGUUAAAAGUGACAAUGUCUCAAGUGAAAACUUCGCAUUUUUUCUUUUUUAAAUUUCAGUAUCUGGUGGUUUUCUCAAACAACAUACUUUUCGUUUUUUUUUCUUAAUAUAUAUUUCAUAUAACAUGCAUAACUUGUAAUCUUGUGUACAUAUACUAAUUUAACACUACAAAAUUUAGAGAGUUAUCGACUUGUUGGUUAAAAGAUUGUAAUUGAUUUAACACUGCAAAAGCAAAUGUGAGAAGACUGUUUGGAACUGAAAGAAACGAGUACACAAACAGUUGUUCUUUUAAACAAACACAAUUUACACAAGAAAAGAAACAAACUUUGUAUGUAAUGGAAGGAGAGAGAGAGAAAGAGAACAACCACAUUAUAACUUGGACGCCUUCUUCUGCUUAUACCUAGCGGCAGAGAAGAAGUAAACCGCCAUGUUCACAAGGCUAAGCCCAGCCAAAAGCCAGAAGUAGUAAUCAAGAUGACCCGAGUUCAGAUUAUCCGAUAUCCAACCUUGUUCACCGUUCCUCGUCGUGAAAUAAGUCACCAGCGUGAGGAUCAACGAACUCAAGUAGUUCCCAAGAGCAUUAGUCAAAAGAGCCAAAGCACUGCACAAGCUCCUCAUUGCAUCUGGAGACUGAUCAUAGAAAAACUCAAGCUGUCCUAUGAAGUAGAACACUUCCGCCGCACCGAGGAUGAAGUACUGUGGGAUCUGCCAUAACACCGAUAUGGGGACAGGAGCUCCAGACUCAACCAACCCGAGCUCGUUGGCUAAAUGGAGCCUGAUGAUCUCGACAAUCGCUGCAGCUGCCAUACAGAGAACAGAGACGAACAGACCAACCCCCAUUCUCUGUAUCUCAGUGAAUCCUUUGUCUACUCCAGUGAACCGUCUAGCUAAAGGGACGAUGAACCUGUCGUAGAGAGGAACCCAGAUGAUGACGCUAGCUGUGUCAAACGUCCCGAGCGCUGCAGGAGGAAGCUGGAAAGAUCCUAUUUUGCAGUCCAUGGCUCGGCCUUGUUGAACAAACAUUGUUGACAUUUGUGCGUAUACAGCUGAGAAAAUGAUACCUGAAGCCCAUAUUGGGAACAUUCGUAUCAGAAUCUUGAGUUCUUCGACUUGAGUAACUGUGCAUAGUCUCCACGAGUUGGAGAAGUCUCCGGUUUUGGAUUCUUCUUCUGAGAUAACAGCAGCUUUGUCAAGAUACCUGCAUCAAUAGAGACCCCAUGUUAAACAAAGCAAAGCUAUAUAUAUACUCGUUAGGAUAAUAGAUGUUUUAGAAAAAAAUUUGAUUCACAAAAAUAGAUUUUUUGUGUUUUCUAUGAAAAUGUUGUAAAUUUUUUAAAAAAUUAAUUAAUUUAUUGGUUAAAACUUAUUGAAAAUUGAUAAUAACAAAAAAAAAAUUAUAUAUUUAUUAUAGUGAUUUAAUGUGUUUUCUUAGUAACCCCAAGACCCUUGUCUUAGCUAUCCCUGGAACAAGGGACCUCUAACACAAUGGCAUGGCUCCUUUCAGUUGAGCUAGUAAAGCAAAGCUAUUCAUUCCCAGGAAGAAGAUGAAACUUACUGGCAAUCAUCGGUAUGUUCGAUUUUUCGACUUCCAGCAAUAGCAGAGUUCUUGUCCUGCGUUUCAUACAGAAGCAUUGCGUCUUCAGGGACUGUGAGAGUCGAUUUACGGAACGAGGCCACCACCACUUGGGAGAUCCGAGUGAUAGGGCUGCCUCCAGGCUUCUGAAACCUGUAAAGAGGCGUGCCAAAGAAGAAACUUGCAAUGGCGAGUCCCAUGAAGACGGUUGGUAUACCAAAACCUAAACCCCAGCCGCGGUUCUCUUGGAUCCAGACAAGAAGACUAGAAGAGACUAGCGCUCCAAUGUUGAUGGAGAAGUAGAACCAGUUGAAGAAGGAAGCUUUCUUAACUCGUUCGCGAGAGUCCGUGUCAUCGAACUGGUCUGCACCGAAGGAUGAGACGCAUGGUUUGAUGCCUCCAGUGCCGAGGGCGAUCAGGUAAAGCCCACCAAAGAACAUUGCGUACUGUGCUGGUGUUGCUGAUGGACAGAAAGUGCCAAUGCAUUCCGCUGGCUUUAGUGCCGGAACUGACGCUGAGAGAGUUAGCGCAGACAUGCCCUAAACAAAAAACAGAGCAAAGAAAACCAAAACUCAAACUUCAAAUCAAUUGUGUGAUAAGACACAACCAUUGAAAAGGUGCUUACGAUGAAGUAAAUGCCGGAGAAACAAGCGAUGGUCCAGUAUCUGCCCCAGUAAGCAUCGGCUAAGACAGCACCAAUGAGCGGGGUGAGAUAACAAGUCCCCUGCCAUGUGGUGACGUUUCUAGCAGCGGAAACGUUUCCUUGGUGGAGUUUAGUGGUGAGGUAAGUGAUAAGAUUCCCAGCAAUACCAUAGUAAGCUAGCCUCUCGCAGCAUUCAUUACCUACACAUUAAAAACAUCAUCCUCAUAAGGUUAAGAUACAUAAGGAAUAGGAUUGAAAUGAAACGAAAUGUACCUAAAAUGAAAGGACAAGCUUUCCAGUUGCCUGUCUUCUCCUUGAGUGGUGGGUUUCCAUGAAGGUCCACUGAACCAUCUUGAGCAUACAGUUUUGGUUCCUGGUCAAACAAAAGUCAAGAUUACAUCUUUUAGCCAAAGACCAUUGCCAGUGAACAAUAAUAGCAUCAAAAUAGUUUUAACUACAACAUAAUCUGAUCUGCACUGGCAAAGUUUAUACAUUUGGAAUCAUAAUCACCCUCAAGGGUUAUAAAUAAAUACAUGGAAGGGAAUCAACAGCAAUUACCCAGAAAAAUCUCUCAACAAACAAACAUGCAUAAGAUCAUCAAACUCAAGCUCAAGUCAAGAUUUUUGGAGAAAUGAAAACCCUAAGAGAGAGAGAAAAAUCAAAAUCCAGAUUAACCUAAAUUCAAGCGAUUAGAAACAACAUCUAAGAGCGAAAUUGAUGAUCAAACCUGCGAGAUUAAACCUUCUUCGAUGAGAGGUGAUUCUUCUUCAAUGGAGCCCAUCCUUCUCGCUUCGAUUUAAGAUUCCAUCUUUACUCUUUAUUUAUUUGGAAGACGUGACGUGACGUGAUUGUUUUCUAUUUUAAUUUUCCCCGCGACUUUUUUUAAUUAGUUGUGAAAAUAUUAAAUAAAACGGAUAAUAUAAGAAACAAUUAGAAGCGAACUAAUAUAAUAAGCAAAGUACAACGACAAUCUGAUCUUUUGCGAUAACGAUUUCUCUGCUUCUUGACGACGUAAAGAUAAGACUUGUGGGUCGACUUGUCCAUUUUUUUCAACUUGUAUUACUCUAACCAAGAAACGAUAUAUGUUUAUUUGUUGCUCUGUUUUCAAGUUUUUUUUUAUUUUUUCCAACUUGUAUUUACCCUAACCAAGAAACGAUAUAUGUAUGUAUUUUAUUUGUUUCUCUGUUUUCAAGUUUUUUUUCGUUGCUAUGUCUCUCUCUCAGUCUCUCUUGAAUUAGGACCUGACUGGUUCAAACGCAGCGGUUGCGGUUGCGGUUGCGGGAGUUUGUGGAUGCGGACGGUUACGGUUUUUAGCGAUUUUAAGAGAUUUGUACGACUGGUACUGCGGUUAAAAAUUGGUGCGUUUGCGGGUGACUUAUGACUGGUUAACUACCAAAUGCGGUAACAAUCAAAUAAUAAAUUAACAAUAUUUACAUNNNNNNNNNNNNNNNNNNNNNNNNNNNNNNNNNNNNNNNNNNNNNNNNNNNNNNNNNNNNNNNNNNNNNNNNNNNNNNNNNNNNNNNNNNNNNNNNNNNNNNNNNNNNNNNNNNNNNNNNNNNNNNNNNNNNNNNNNNNNNNNNNNNNNNNNNNNNNNNNNNNNNNNNNNNNNNNNNNNNNNNNNNNNNNNNNNNNNNNNNNNNNNNNNNNNNNNNNNNNNNNNNNNNNNNNNNNNNNNNNNNNNNNNNNNNNNNNNNNNNNNNNNNNNNNNNNNNNNNNNNNNNNNNNNNNNNNNNNNNNNNNNNNNNNNNNNNNNNNNNNNNNNNNNNNNNNNNNNNNNNNNNNNNNNNNNNNNNNNNNNNNNNNNNNNNNNNNNNNNNNNNNNNNNNNNNNNNNNNNNNNNNNNNNNNNNNNNNNNNNNNNNNNNNNNNNNNNNNNNNNNNNNNNNNNNNNNNNNNNNNNNNNNNNNNNNNNNNNNNNNNNNNNNNNNNNNNNNNNNNNNNNNNNNNNNNNNNNNNNNNNNNNNNNNNNNNNNNNNNNNNNNNNNNNNNNNNNNNNNNNNNNNNNNNNNNNNNNNNNNNNNNNNNNNNNNNNNNNNNNNNNNNNNNNNNNNNNNNNNNNNNNNNNNNNNNNNNNNNNNNNNNNNNNNNNNNNNNNNNNNNNNNNNNNNNNNNNNNNNNNNNNNNNNNNNNNNNNNNNNNNNNNNNNNNNNNNNNNNNNNNNNNNNNNNNNNNNNNNNNNNNNNNNNNNNNNNNNNNNNNNNNNNNNNNNNNNNNNNNNNNNNNNNNNNNNNNNNNNNNNNNNNNNNNNNNNNNNNNNNNNNNNNNNNNNNNNNNNNNNNNNNNNNNNNNNNNNNNNNNNNNNNNNNNNNNNNNNNNNNNNNNNNNNNNNNNNNNNNNNNNNNNNNNNNNNNNNNNNNNNNNNNNNNNNNNNNNNNNNNNNNNNNNNNNNNNNNNNNNNNNNNNNNNNNNNNNNNNNNNNNNNNNNNNNNNNNNNNNNNNNNNNNNNNNNNNNNNNNNNNNNNNNNNNNNNNNNNNNNNNNNNNNNNNNNNNNNNNNNNNNNNNNNNNNNNNNNNNNNNNNNNNNNNNNNNNNNNNNNNNNNNNNNNNNNNNNNNNNNNNNNNNNNNNNNNNNNNNNNNNNNNNNNNNNNNNNNNNNNNNNNNNNNNNNNNNNNNNNNNNNNNNNNNNNNNNNNNNNNNNNNNNNNNNNNNNNNNNNNNNNNNNNNNNNNNNNNNNNNNNNNNNNNNNNNNNNNNNNNNNNNNNNNNNNNNNNNNNNNNNNNNNNNNNNNNNNNNNNNNNNNNNNNNNNNNNNNNNNNNNNNNNNNNNNNNNNNNNNNNNNNNNNNNNNNNNNNNNNNNNNNNNNNNNNNNNNNNNNNNNNNNNNNNNNNNNNNNNNNNNNCGGAUCCCACUGUGCUGGAAAGUUGUCUUUUUAAUUUGUUUCUUCUAUUGUUGAGAGUACAUAAAUUAUAUUAAAGUUGUUGAAAAUACCUUUUGUUUCUGGAUAUUUUUUUUCCAGUUUAGUUGUGUAAGUUGUGUGUAUUAUGUAAUUAUUAUUAUUAUCCUUAUUAUGUUUGUUAUAUGUUUUUAUUUUAUUUUUAAACUUGUUGCUCUUACCGGACCUUUAAAAAAAUACAUGAAGACUUGUAGAAAUAACUAUAAAAUGAGUGACAAUUCUGAGUAUUUGAGCCUUAAUGGGUUGUAAACGAAUUUAGGUAUUUCUCAUAAGAAGACAAUAUCAUUGGCCUGUUGACAUUGGGCAUGUAAGCUAUUUUUAUAAGACAAGAGGAGUGACCAGGUGGAGAUGUUGUUGCCGCCUUUGUGUAUGUCGGGAUUGUCUCUUGUAUCUCCUGGUGUGGUUAUGUUUGUUUAUCUUUUAUUUGAUGGGUAAUAUGUAAACAAAAAUCAUAUAUAUAAGGUUCAUCAAAGACGAGAAUCAUAUAUAUAAGGUUUACAGAAUGGCUACAAAUCAGGAACAUUUAUGAUCAAGCGAUUUAAGAUGGGGAGAUGAAGAGUUCACCGGUGAAAAAAUAGAUUACGAACAGACACACGGUGCAACUCUGUAACUCAGACUUGUCUGAGACAAUGAUGAAAAGAACUCUAACUCAUGUUAAACGAAGAUAUUUUACAAUAUGGAAAAACUAUAAUUGUUGCUUUUCAUAUAACGUGAUGAAUCUCAUUUAAAAAUGAAACUCAUAAUACACUUGUAGACCCAGCCCACAGAGAAAACAGAAGAAGCAAGGGUUUCCGACCUUCAUAAAUGUAUAUUAGUUUCGGCCAUCAAUGUACAAAGUAUCCUUUAGUUUAGUGGUAUAAAUGUUGGUUUUUAUAUCACAAUAAUCCGGGUUCGAGCCAUGAGCUUGACACUUUUUUCACACUUUUUAAAAGUGGAGUCCACAAAACGCUGACAUGACGGACGCGCUGAGGAGAGAGCAAAAACUCAAUCAUUAUAAUAUAGAUUUCAAACGUAAUAGCACAUAUUACUAAGUAACGAAAUAUUGUUUGUUGUAACGUAAUAAAUUUACAGGGGAGGUCUCAUUUGUUCCUAAGAAUCGCCACCGACUUUGGCGGCGAUAACUGAAGCAUAGUGAGCAAUGUUAGUCUCAGGGGAAUGUUUAAGCCUCGCUAUGACCCAGAACAACUCAGAUGACUUCACGAACUGUCUGCAGAUCUGGUGGUUCGAACACAUUUUUGCCAACGAAAAGAGUGCAACCUUGAGCGGUGACUCACUUGCUGUCUCUUUCUUGCUCGGAUUCAAGGCCACAACCGAGCAAUCCGAGACCAACUUUAGUAACGUCUGCAUCACAAAAUACGCAAAAUGAGAAAUCAGAUUCAUGCCUGACUAGGCUAUAUGAACACAAAAUCCCGACAAGACUUAAACAACAGGCUUCUGUUUUUGACCUGAGGAAUUUAAAAGUAACAAUUAAUUAACUAUAUUUGAUCCGCGCAACUGCGCGGAUUUUUGUUUUCAUUUAUUUUUAUAUAAACAUUUUGUUUCAAUUCUAAAUUGGUAUAUAUUGUAAUAUAUAUGUGUUUAUCAAUUUUUAAAACAAAAUAAGUUUACGGUAUAUUUUUUUCAUUGAAUAGAUUGUUUCAAAUUUUCACAUGUAUUUGUAUCUUCUUCUAUAUAUAUAUUUUUGGAUUAUUAUUUCAUUAUUAAAAUCGUAACUAUAUAUAUAAUGAUUAGUAAAAUAUUGUUUUAUUGUCAUAUUCAAAGAUAUUGUAACAUUUCAAAAAUUUAGAAUGUUUUUUAAAAAUUAAAAUUUUCUCUUCAUAGAUUUAUAUUAUCGAAUAAAUAAUUAAACAUUGAGUUUUUGUUUAAUGAUUAAAAUAAACUAUAUAGUUAAAAUUUGUUUUCAUUGGUUUAAGAUAGUAAAGAUUAAUCAUUGUUAGAUAAUAUGAUUUUUGUUAUUUAAAAAAAAAUCUUUAUAAUUUUAAGAGUUAACAUCGACAAAUAUUUAAAUAAUUAACAUAUGGAUGUAUAGUAUUACGACAUUAAAUUAUAUCUAUUUAAUUUAUAUUAUCUAUAAAUCCAAUGGAUCAUCUAUUGUUUAAAUUCAAUUAUUGAUAACCCAAUAAAAAUUUCUGGUAGGUCCAAAAUUUAAAUGAUAAUAUUAGAGAUUAAAUGUAACAUGACUUUCUAGAAAUAAGUCCAUUAGGUUCAUUUUUUAAAAAAUCACACAUGAAUCAAGGUUGUGACUUCUGUUUUAAUAUAUAAGAUUCUACGCAUAAUUAAUUAUAUAUAUAUCAUUAGUAUCUACAUUUGAACUAACACAAUAUAAUCAUUAUUCUUAAAUUAUUUCUAAAAUCUGAAUUUCAACUAAUAUUCAAAGUAGUUUCUAUAUUUUACUCUAGCGAUUUCAACAAUUAAUAAGAUCGAUUAGCAUAUAUAUGAAACCGUUUUGAUUUAUUUAGAAACUGAAUAUUACAUUAUACUUAUUUUCCAAACUCAGUAUAUCUACACUUUUAACCUAGAUUUAUGUUUUAUUUUGAAUAUACUAACCCAAAAUUAUGAGACCCUUCUAUAAAUACUUUUCCCAUUACUCUAUAUUCAUCCGCAAUUCACAAAAAAAAACAUGUCUAACUAGAAAAAUAAGUCUCUUUUUAAAGAUGUCAACCUUUUGAAAAUCGGUUGGCUAAUUCACGUGAAAUUGUUUCAUUCGCCAAAUCUAAACGAAGUGAUUUAAUUUGUAUUUAUAAUACAUUUAAAAAAGCGAACGGAACUAUACAUUUACCAAAUCUAAAAAUAGUGUAUAAUAAGAAGCAAAACCACCCUCAAUUCAAAUAAUAAUCCAAUGAUAAUUUAACAAUAUUCAUGUACAAAAAAAAAUAUAUAUAUAUAAUUUAAAACAAACACCCAUGCGUCCGCACAGGUCCAAAUAUAGUUAGAAUUAAUGGUAAAAACUGGUUAAGUCUAAUUUUGGUUUUGUUUUGUUUAUUGACAUAAAACCGAACUUGUUGAAGAAUGAAUCUAAUCAUGUACGUAAAAUGAUGGUCAUAAUCGGUUAAAUCAUUUAUUUAUUUAUUAAUUGUAUAAACCAAACAGGUUUAAGAGUCACUCUUAUGAAGAAUAGGUUAAAUUCGAUUUAGAAUUAUUUAUAUAAGUAUAUAUGUACCAAGGUUGCCGUAUAGGAGAAUGUUACUAUACUCGUGCAUCUAUAAUGUGAUUCAUUAAUGAUGAAAAAAUAUUUUGGUAAAACAAACCAAUAUUAUAGGCAAAGUAGUUAUUAUAAUCGAUAACAUAUGAAGUGAUUUAGUUAUGAUGUCAAAAUGUUAUUUAGAAAUAAAUGAAACAUGACAUUCUAGGAAAAGUCCAUUUUUUAAAUAUCACAUGAAAAGAAAUUGUGAGUUUUAUUUUAAUAGAAUAAAUUUGAGCUUCGGUGUGGAUAAAAAUAUCAGGGACGGCAAUGAUAAUAGCAUCUGCAUUGGAAAUCUCCUUUGCCUAUAUCUUGGCACCUACUAACCCCUUUUGGCCUCUUUUUGGUACAUUCGGCUGUACAUUGCUUAGGAUCACAUUUUCCAGUAUUGUUUGGGUAUGCUUCAACACAAGUUUUUUGUGUGGUUGGUCCUCCUUUCUGAGCAGACACCACUACUCCUGUUAUUAUAGUAAUUGAAAUAUAACAUUAGUUUUGUAUUUAAAAAAGAAAAUUAAUAUUUUUGUAAAAUAUAUGUUUUGAGAGUUUUCUUUGCAUAUUUAUCAAAAUGAUAUUUUAAACAUAUUAUCUCUUAAUCACUGAUCAUUCUUGGAGAAUUACUAAAUCAAUAUAAUGGAACUGGACAUACAAUUUAUAUAAACAUAUAAAAUAAUACAGCAUCAAAAUAAAUUUGUAGUAUCAUGUUUAUAUAAUAUAUACUAAAAAGUUGUGAAGUAAAUACAUACCUAGUAGAAAGAUUGUCAGCAUAAUGAAGCCAAUAAGCGAAGUCCGAAAAGAAAUUUUCAUCUUAGAUAAUGAACUAAUUGUGUUUAAAAAAAUUAGAACGAUAGAGAAAUAUAUUUAUAGACGAAUCACAUAUUGAAACAUAUCUAAUUUAAGCUAUGUUUCUUUUAAAAAUCCGAUAUAAAAGGAUAUAGUUUGACCAAUUUUUUAAACAAUUUUGUAAUUUAUUAUUUAUUUAAUAGAUAAAUAGUUUGACUCAUUUAUUUGUAAGUUUAUAACACAAAUACAAUGAAUAUUCAAAUAGUUAACGACCAUUUGUUCAAAUAAUAAUUCCCACAUAAUAAUUAUCGAAAAUAAAUAACAAACCAUCAGCAAACAUUAGUGGAUCAUAUCUUCCAAAAAAAAUAUGGUGCCUACAAAUAUUAACACAGUCGUUACAAAUAUUUGAGGGAUGAUAAUGACAAUUAAUAAAUUCAACACAAUAAGUGCAAUUCACACAAAAGUUUUUGAGAGGAAACGACUAAGCAUGCUGCUACUAUUUAAACAGAUUAAGCAAGGACAAAUCUCAUUGAUGUAAAAACAAAGCUUUGUUUAGUUUAAAGAUCCUACCAAAACAGAUGUGAGUCUCCUUGAAGCUCUUCACUAAGAUAAUUACCAAAGUUGGUGCAACCUCUUUUAUUGAAUUUCAUAGCUACAUGAAGGAGAUGUACCAACGACUCAUCCUAUUACCACUUGUGAAGAACCACUACAUGGAACCAUCUUGAAGAACACUAUGUCAAAGCUAUCAUUCGUAACUUCUAUGAAAAUGAUGUCAUUAAUGGUCUCUUUCAAUUAAAUGUAGAAGCUGGUGGUGUACAUGAAGAAUCAACAUAUCUUUAUGAAGUUCUCCUACUAUGUACUAGAAUGAUGGAAGAUGGCGAGUAAAUACUCCGCUAAUCUCAAUUGGCUCGAAUACACAACCUUGAUUAACGGCUGAUGUAACAACAUAAAGACAUCUUUCCAUGGAUCAAGAGUGUCAAGAAAUAGAAGAUAUCUCAAAUCUUUGAGGAAGAUGAUACCAAGCAACCUUUAUCAUCUUAAUUAUACGACAAAUACAUGUGCAAAGUGCUACUACUAUAAGCAAAUAGUGAAGUUCGUUUUUAUGAUAUGGCAACAUCACAUCUCAAAGAGUUGUUGUGCUGUUAUACGAUGAAGACAAACUUUGUCAUUUGCUAAUAAUAGAAGCAUUUUCAAGAGUUGUUGUGUUGGAAGCUUUAAUUUCAAGUUUAUAAGUCUAUGGUCCACACUUCACACCUUUUAGACGAGGUUGUUGCAGCAUUUUCCUAUAUCUAUGUGUAAAUUGUACAAUGAUGUAUAUUUUCUUUUGAAAAAAAAUAAUGAAUUCCAAAACACAUAUGGCAAAAUCUUACAGAAACCAUGCCUUCUUAAAUAACCAUUUUCAAAUGAAAAACAAAGCCACUUUCAAUUAUUACACAUUUAAAAUGACUACUUAUAAUUUAGCGGAAAAAAAAAGACUACUUAUAAUUAAAUGAGGUUGGCAGCUGAGUUGGACGAAACAACUCACCCUGUGUAAAAAGGCGUUCCACAAUAAUUCAUUUUUUCCAUAUAAAUGCGACUACAAAUCAGUUCUUUUAAACAAGAGGGAGAAGAAAAUCACUUGGGCGAACUCAGCGACAACACAAAACUCCCGUGCGUUUCAAAGGAAUCGAGCAUUUCAAUAAUAAUCCCAUGGAGCAUAACUCAACUCUAAAAUAGAGUACCAUGGAGCAUAACUCAACUCUAUUAUAGAGUUACUCUCUUUUAUUUUUCACUCUAAAAUAGAGUACCAUGGAGCAUAACUCAACUCUAUUAUAGAGUUACUCUAUUUUAGAGUGAAAAAAUAAAGUGAAUCAUUGGAGAUGGUCUAAUGUUGUUGCUGUUUAUUUGUCUCUUUACCAAACGGGCAGAGAAUAAAAUUCUAUGUAUUACCAAAAAAAGAAAAAAAUAAAAAUUGGUUCCCAACAUUAACUUUUUUUUGUCAACUUUCAAAAAUAAAUUUUUAUGCUUAAAUAAUAAACAAAACAGUUACAUUAUGUUGAAUCUAUAGUUUUUUAGAAUCUAAUAAUUAAAACACAAAAAUACAUAUUUAAAAUUUAUACCACGUUGGGAAGAAGACUUUUUCAAGACUUCUUCCAUCAUGAAAUGCAUUAAAAGAGUUCCCAAGAAGUCUUCGAGAAGUCUUCCGAGAGUAUUCUAGAAGUAGGCAUGGGCAUUCGGGAUCCCAAUCGGGUUUCGGUUUAGUCCAAUCGGGUUUGGUUUUUCGGGUUUAUCAAAAUCAGUCUCAUUCGGGUUAUAUGAAAAUUCGGUUCGGGACCGGUUCGGGUUCUAUCGGGUUCGGGUCGGGGUUAGUAAAUCUUCAAAGAACCGGUACAAUCCGAUGUACUUUUGGGUUCGGAUACCAAUCGGUUCUUAGGUUUAAAUGUACCUGAUUUAUAUCUACUUCGUAACCAAAAAAUAAGUAAAAUCGGUUCUUCGGUUUUAAAAUACUUGAUUUGUACCUAUUUUGUAACCAAAACAUAAAUAAAAUCGGUUCAAAAAAAAGAAAGGAACAUCAAAUGUGAUCAUUCAAAAUAAAAUAAAAGAUAAACAUAGUUAUUGAUCGAAAGAAAACCAAAUAAAUGAAAGCAUAAAACGAAAACCAAGUUCUCAUGAAAUAAAAAUCAUUAUUCAAUGAAAACAAAACCAAAAUCUAAAAACUUCAACCUUCAACCGCCACCUUCAACAAUCAAUCUUCAUAUAAUAGAUAAUUAUUUUAGAUGUUCAAUAUAUUUUGAAUACAUAUUCGAAAUUAAGAUCAUGUUUGGUACAAGUUAUUUUUGGGAAUUUUGAAUGUUUCGGGUUCUAUCAGAUAUCCAUUUAGGUUCGGGUUCGGUUCAGAUAAUACCCAUAACCCGAAAUAGCAUAAUACAAGAUCCAUUCGAUAUUUAUACCGGGUUCGGAUCGGUUCAGAUUCAUUUUUAUCGGAUCGGAUUUUCGGGUUCGGUUUAUUUGCCCAACCCUAUCUAGAAGUCUUCCAAAGUCUAAUUCAGAUCUGAAAAAAUAUACAUAUUCAAAUACAUUCAAAAUGCUUCAAAACAGAAAAAACUUCAAAAUAAUUUUUUCAUGCAUAAAUAAUAAACAAAAAUUCACAUUAAAUUGAAUCUAUUACUUUUUAGGAUCUAUUAUAUAAAACACACAAAAAUAUAUAUCAAAAAUGUGUGCCACUUUGGGCAGAAGACUUCAUAAAACUUCCUAAAGACUUCUUGGGAAGUCUUCUAACAUAAAAUGCAUUAGAAAAUUUCCCAAGAAGUCUUCCAAAGUCUGACUCGGAUUUGAAAAAACCUGCAAAUUCAAAAAAAAAAAUCAAAUGAUUUUAAAACAGAGAAAAAAAAACAAAAACAAUCAAAUUAGAUUUGAAUCUAUAGCUUUUUUUAUAAUCUUACAUAUAAAAUACAAAAAAUACAUAUCCAAAAUUUAUAGAUUUACCUUUGAAAGAGUGAAAAAUGAAACCAUGUAAUGAAAACUCUGCAAAAAAAAAGAUGAAUUAUUGAGAAAGACAUAAGAAAAAAAUGAGAACUAGAUUUAAAGUUUGGUGUUUUCUAGUUCAAACAUAUAAUAUAGAGUUUGGGGAGUUUUAGAGUGAGAAACAUUAUAUUUUUGCUGCAGCUAUUUGAUAUGAAGAGAGAGAAUGUGUAAAUUUUCGUUAUAUAAGGACACAAAAAAUCUAAUUAUGUUUAAUAUUUUUGGUUCAGAAGACUUCCCAGAAAAUCUUCUAAACCCAAAAUUUGAUAUUCGUCCGAGAAAGUUUUUCAAUAAGUCUUCUAAUGCAUUACAUGUUAGAAGACUUCUGUAAAAGUCUUUUAAACCAUAAAACCAAAUAAAUAACUAAAUACCAACAAACACUUUUUUAAACAUAUGAUCAACUUAUAAAAUGUUGAAUAUACACUAUACUAAAAUCUAACCCUAAAAGUACAAACAAUACUAUAACAUAUGUUAUCAAUACCUAAACCAAAGACUAUCAUGACUCAAUCUACAUUCAGCCACCUAUGUUGAAAACAAUUCAAUUUUAGUAAAUCUAAAUUUACAUCAUUUAAAAAUAUUUAUUAUAUGAUUUAGAUUUUUCCCACAUGAAAUUAUAUUUAAUAAAUUUAUAAAUUAUUUUUAAGAUCAAAUAUAUGAGAAUAUUUUCCAAGGAAGACUUUCAGAAGACUUCACAUUAGGUGGUAAACCUAAAUUUCUAAAUUAAUGAUUAGACGGGAAACCAACAUUCUACUAGAAUGGUAUACUUUGUUGUGAAGUCUUCCAGGAAAUCUUCUAGUGCAUUAUAUGUUAGAAGACUCUUCCAACCUUAUAAUCAAAUAACUAACUAAAUAACAAAAAAACACAUCAUUAAAUUUAAAUCAACUUAUAAAAAAUUUAAUGUACACAAAACUAAACACAUAUAAGUCAAAUUUAUUUAUUUAAAAAAAGAAAUUAACAUUCCAAAAUCUAACCCUAAAAAUACAAACAAUAGUAUAACAUAUAUGUUACCAAAUCCUAAACCAAAGACUAUCACGACUCAAUCAGUUGCCAAAACAAAAAUAGACUAUCAUGACUCAAUCCGCAUUCACUCAUCUAUGUUAAAAAUAAUUCACUUUUAAUAAAUAUAAAUUUAUAUCAUUUAGAAAUGUUUAUAAUUACAUGAUUUCAAUUUUCCCAAUCAAAAUAUUUGUAUAAAUACUUUACGAGAAGACUUACAAAGAAGUCUUCUCAAAUAAGUCUUCCUUCGAAGUCUUUUCACGCUAAGGGUUAUAGGGUUAAAACUCUACACAAACUUUUUGUGUUGGUCAUAAGGUGAUUGUUGUAAUUUCACUAGUAUUUUGAGUUAUUUUUCAUGUGAUUGAAUUUGAGGUACACUUUUACAUUUAAAAUCAAGUUUGAAUCAUUUUUUGGCAAAUUCCCUAGUUUCAAAAUUAGUGGCAUUUUGUGUAAAUCUCACAUGACCUAAAGGUUAGUUCUAGUAUUUACUUUUCUUCUAAUAGAAAAAUGAAUAAUUUUCCAAAAUUAUUUUAAUAUAUAAAGCUCAGUUAAAUCUUCCUCCAACAAAUAAAUAAUAAAUUAAAAUAUAGAAAAUAAAAUAUCAGAAAACAAGCCACAUAAAUAAUAUAUAUAUAUAUAUAUAUAUUAUAAAAUACUACUAAAUAAAUUUUCUAUUAAAAUAGUACAUAAUCAUAAAAAUACAUAUACUCCAAAAGUUAAAACGGAUUUCAAUUUAGAUUUUAGAGUUAUGGUUUAGAGAUUUGUAUUUAGGGGUUAAGGUUUAUAGUUUAAAGUUUAGAAUUUAGGAUUUAGGUUUUAAAAUUAUGAUAACACAUAUUUAUUUUGUUUAAAUUUAUUAUUUGUGAAAUGUAGUCGAUUUUUUUCAUUUUUGUGAUUUAUUCGUUUGUUAAAUAAUUUUGUGAUAUUAAAGAAAAUUUGCUGGAACAAAAAUCUCAUCUUAUAUAUUAAAACAGAAGUCACAAGUUUGAUUCAUGUGUGAUUUUUAAAAAAAUGGACCUAAUGGACCAAUUCUUAGAAAGUCAUGUUACAUUUAAUCUAUAAUCUUAUCAUUUAAAAUUUGGGCCUACCAGAAAUUUUUAUUGGGCUAUCAAUAAUUGGAUUUAAACAAUAGAUGAUCUAUUGGAUUUAUAGAUAGUAUAAAUUAAAUAGAUAUAAUUUAAUGUUGUAAUACUAUACUUCCAUAUGUUAAUAAUUUAAAUAUUUGUCGAUAUUAACUUUUAAAAUUAUAAAGAUUCUUUUUUAAAUAACAAAAAUCAUAUUAUUUAACAAUGAUUAAUCUUUACUACCUUAAACCAAUGAAAACAAAUUUUAAACUAUAUAGUUUAUUUUAAAAAUUAAACAAAAACUAAAUGUUUAAUUAUUUACUCGAUAAUAUAAUUCUAUGAAGCAAAAAGUUUAAUUUUUUAAAAUCUUUCUAAAUUUGUGAAAUGUUACUAUAUUUUUGAAUAUGACAAUAAAAAAAUAUUUUACUAAUCUUUACAUAUAUAGUUACGAUUUUAAUAAUGAAAUAAUAAUCCGAAAAUAUAUAUAUAGAAGAAAAUACAAAUACUUGUGAAAGUUUGAAACAAUCUACUCAGUGAAAUUUUUUUACCGUAAACUUAUUAUUUUUAAAAAUUGAUAGAUACAUAUAUAUUAUAAUAUAUAACAAUUUAGAAUUGAAAACAAAAUGUUUAUAUAAAAAUAAAUGAAAACAAAAAUCCGCGCGGUUACGCGGAUCGAGAUCUAGUUAUAUUUUUAAUUAAUGAAAACUUCGGUACAUAUUCUUCGCCCGUAAUUUAUUGUACACACAUUACGAUCUUAUUAAUGAUCAAUCAAGAUUUGAAAACAAAUCUCCUAUAUAUUAAUUGAGAAACAUUUGAAAAAUUAGAACCUUAAUUUUGUAUUAAUUAAAAAAAACCCUAAAUCUUAGGUGGCACUGUAAAUGUCUUCUAAAUUCCAUUUCAAAGAAUUCUAGAGCAUCUAAUGUAAAGUAUAGUUUAAUCUAAUGGUGUCACAUUAUUCCAUAAUUAUAUAACACUAGAGAAUUUAUAUUAACCUAAAAUAUAGGAAGUGUGUAUUCUUUUCUUAAAUAAAAGCGACGAAAUUACCUAAUAUGAUUUACAUAUAUAUAGCAAUUAAUGAUUAUGAAUAAUAAAGAUUUGAUAACAUUUUUUGCAUCCUUAUUCAUUUUUGUUUAAAUUUAUAUUAUUAAAAAAAAUUAAACAAUCACAUUAACCAUAUAAUAAAAAAAUUAGAUUUUUUUCUUAUAUGUUAUAUUUUGAAUUUUUUAAAAUGACUUUAAAAUUACAAAAAUAAGGAAACCUUAUAUGUUAUAUUUUUUUUUAAAAUGAUUUUAAAAUACAAAAAUGAGGAUAUCUUAUAUGGUAUACUUUUCUUAUAUGUUAGAAUUUUCUUAUAUGUUAUAUUUUGAUUUUUUUAAAACGACUUUAAAUUACAAAAAUGUAAGUUUUCCUUAAGUAUACGACUAAAAACAUUAAAAUGACAUGUAUCAAUUCGAUGGUUGAUUUGAAAGCUUUCAAAACCAUAUGGAAGAUAAAAGUCAAAAUAAUUUAACUGUGGAAACAAUACCGUUCAUUUUUUUCAAGAAUGUGUUCGAUAGAAAAAAUAAGGUUUUUAUGUCAUAAUUUGUUUAAUGUCCACUAGAGAACAUUAUAUUAACUUAAAAUGUAAGAAGUGUGUAUUCUUUCCUUAAAUAAAAGCUACAGAAUUACCUAAUAUGAUUUACAUAUAUAUGACAAUUAAUGAUUAUGAAUAAUAAAGAUUUGAUAACAAUUUUUUGCAUCCUUCUUCAUUUUUGUUUAAUUUUAUAUUAUUAAAAAAAUAAAAAAUCACAUUAACCAUAUAAUAAAAAAAUUAGAUUUUUUCUUAUAUGUUAUAUUUUGAAUUUUUUAAAAUGACUUUAAAUUACAAAAAUGAGGAAACAUUAUAUGUUAUAUAUUUUUUUAAAACGACUUUAAAAUACAAAAAUGAGGACACCGUAUAUGUUAUAUUUUUCUUAUAUGUUAGAUUUUUUCGUAUAUGUUAUAUUUUGAAUUUUUUAAAACGACUUUAAAUUACAAAAAUAUAAGUUUUCCUUAAGUAUACGACUAAAAACAUUAAAAUGACAUGUAUCAAUUCGAUGGUUGAUUUGAAAGCUUUCAAAACCAUAUGGAAGAUAAAAGUCAAAAUAAUUCAACUGUGGAAACAAUACUGUUCACUGUUUUCAAGAAUGUGUUUGAUAGAAAAAUAAGGGUUUUAUGUCAUAAUUUGUUUAAUGUCUAACCCGAUCAACCUAUGAUCUAUUAAUUAUAGUUUUGUUCCAUUAUUUUUAAUAAAAAUUGAUCCGAUCCAUCGGAACGAAAUUAUAUAAUAACAAUAAAAAAUAUUUUAUAUAUAUAAAUAAAAUGAUCAAAUAUUUAAAAGAAACUAUCGAAAUAUAUACAAAUAAAGUCUUAUCCUAGUCUCAUAUAUAUAACUCAAGGAAACUUAAAGUGAAUAGGCGUCAGAAAUGUAAACAAUGUAUAAAUUAAGGAUUCAAAUACCUAACGCUAGGUACAUUAUUUCCUAUAACAAACAGCCGUUACAAUUAUGUGAGAGAUGAUAAUGACAAUUAAUAAAUUGAAUACAAUAUGUGCAUUUCACACAAACGUUUUUGAGAGGAAACGGCUACGUACAUAACCAGCGUUGCUACUAUUUAAACAGAGUAAGCAAAGACAAUCUCACAAUCACAAGUGUAAAACAAAUGUGAGCCUCCUUGAAGUCCUGCACCAAGAUCUACUUAGAGUCACACCAAAGUUGGUGAAACCUCUUCUAUUGAUUUUCAUAAUUACAUGGAGGAGAAGUUCACUUCGUCAGACAGCAGAAAGGUGUACCAACAAGGCAACAACUCAGCAUACCACUACAUGAAAGUUGUCGAGGGAUGCCUAGAAAACAACAACCUUGAAGCACACACUAUCUCAAAGGUAUGAUUCAUUGCUUCUACAAAAAUGAUGUCCUUAUUGGUCUCUUUCAUUUGAAUGUAGCAGCUGAUGGUGGACACAAAGAAUCAAUGUAUCUUUAUGGAGUUAUCCUACUGGAAUGGAAGAUGCAAAAAACUACUUGGCUAAUCUCAAUUGGGUGGAAUACACAACUUUGAUUAAUGCCUGACUUUUAUCAUCUUAAUGAUAUGACAAAUACAUGUGCAAAAGUGCCACACUACAAGCAAAUGGUGAAGUUGGGUUUUAUGAUUUAACAACAUCACAUCUCAUAGUCUCAUAGAGUUAUGAGAUGUUGUGUUGUUAUAAUAUGAAGACAAACUCUGUCAUUUGUUUAUAGUGGUAGCAUUUUGAAGAAUUGUUCUGUUGGAGUCUUUACUAUUUGAAUUUCAAGUUUGAUAAGUCUAUGGUUUGCUUAAAAAGAGAAAAAUAAAUCUAUGGUUCACACUUCGUAUCUUUUAGGGGGAUGUAUUCAAUUUAACAUUUGAUGUGAUUUGAUUUUUAAUGGGGUUUUAGAUGAUUUCAAUAAGUUGCAGAGAUUUAAGUGACUUUUGUUAAACUACUCUAGAAUAUCACCUAAAACUAUGGGAUUUGAGUUUUAAUUUUUUUAACUAAGAAAUCAUACCCAAACACCUUAAAAUCACCUGAAAACUUUAAAACUCCACAACUUAAAAUAUUUUCAAUAACAGUGGAUUUCAGAGUACUUUAAAAAAUGUCAAAUUCAAUAACAGUGGAUUUUAAAUGAGUUUUUAAAAUUCAUGUUUCAAUAACAGUGGAUUUGUCAUUUUAAUACAAAUCACCUGAAACUCUCAGUUGAAUACAUCCCCCUUAGAAGAGGUUGUUUUGGUAUUUUCUUAAGUCUAUGGUUUGCUUAAAAAGAGAAAAAUAGAAAUGAAGAAGAGGUUGUUUUGGUAUUUUCUUAAGUCUAUGGUUUGCUUAAAAAGAGAAAAAUAGAUAUGAAGAAGAGGUUGUUUUGGUAUUUUCUUAAGUCUAUGGUUUGCUUAAAAAGAGAAAAAUAGAAAUGAAGAAGAGGUUGUUUUGGUAUUUUCUUAAGUCUAUGGUUUGCUUAAAAAGAGAAAAAUAAAUCUAUGGUUCACACUUCAUAUCUUUUAGAAGAGGUUGUUUUGGUAUUUUCCUUUUUUCUCUUGUGCGUGUGUGGACACUUCUACACUGAUGUGUAAUGUUGUUUUUUAGAAAUAAUGAAUUGGAUAAUUGAAUCUCAGCUGUCAACAUGACACUGCACUGCACAAAUACUUUGCCAACGCCAUUCAUGAAAGAGAGAGAUAGGGGUAUUAAAAUACUUCUCCUAUGGUCUCGGUUACAUAUCAAGAAGUCCAUAGCCAACUAUAUAUAAUUUACCAAAUAAAGUAUGGUCCAAUGUCCCGAUAGUCCUCAACCAUUUUUUAAUCAAGUAGCACAUCUCUAUUGUUGAUCUUAUCAUUUCCCCGAUUUUCUUUGGUGAAUUUUGUCCUCAAACAAGUUAUAAAUUAAAUUUUGCUUUUGAAGUCGUGAACAAUAUUUUAAUUUUUUUAUUACGGAGUGGUUAACAUGAACCCAAUAACUUCGAAAAACAUUAAUAAUAUGUAUUAAUUUUUCUUUCUUAAAAAGAAUUCAAUACGAAUAUGUACCUUAUUCUCUUGACUAGUAGUGGUUCAUGAACUUCCUGUUAAAUAUAGUAAACUAACGUCAACUAACUUCAAUGGAAACACACACACACAAGUAAGGUAUGCUUUGAAAUUUUCUACAAAUAAGUUAUUCUUUAAAUUUUGAGAAAUACCCUAGGAUAACACUAGAAGUAUGAAUGGUGACCAAUGAACGACGAAGAAUAAUACAUUCCCUAACGUUCAUAAAAAUAUCACUAUUCACAAAUGGUCUAACUAGAACCAUUAUAGGAACAUUAUGAAUGAGUAGGAAAAAAAUGCAUAUGAAUAAAAUUAGAGUAAUGAAAAAGAAAUUAUUUCUUAUCAAUUUUAGUGAGAAACAAAUUUAUUAUAUAUUCUUUUAAAAUAAAAAGAAUAAAAAAGAAUGCAAAGGAAAAACUAUUUCUUAUAAAUGAUAAAAAAAAUUAGGAAUAACAAAGAAUUCUUUGCAUUCUUUUUUCCUUCUUAUUCUUCACCAUUCUUUUUUUCUUAAAGAAAUAAAGAACAAAGUUUUUUUUUUGAACACUAAAGAACAAAGUUAUUCCUUGUUAAAUAUGGGUUUGAACAACCCAUUAUUUUUCAUUCUUACAAUUUUAUUCUUCUGGGUUCCUUUCCUAUUUGUUCUUCUUGUGUUUCAGAAUGGUCACCAGUCGGACCCUAAAAACGUUUUUGUCACAAAUAUAUAUUCUAAGGAUUAAAAUAACCAAAUAUUUUAUUAAAGAAGUAAAUAUACACUUAUAUCUCUAGGAUUAACUAAUAUAAACAUUAGAGUUUAGAGUUAAAGGAUGAUGAUUUGAGAUUGAAGUUUAAAAUUUUAUAAUAUAAAAAAUAAAUAUUAAAANNNNNNNNNNNNNNNNNNNNNNNNNNNNNNNNNNNNNNNNNNNNNNAAUAUUAAAAAUUUGUAAUAAAAAUUUGAAAAAUAGUUUCAAAAAGAAUUUUCAAAUUAUAAAAAAAAUUUUGAAAAAUUUUUUAUAAAAAAGUUCGAAUUUGAAAACAUAUAAUCUAAACCUAUAAAAAAAUAAUUUUUUUAGUUUUUUUUAUUUGUAUUUAUAUAUCUAGGGUACUAUCUUUUUUUCUAUUAAAUGAAACAUUUUGAUAUUCUUACCUUAGGAUAUAUUUUGGUAACAAAAACUUGAAAAUGGUCUAUCUAAUAGAAUUGUCCUUAAAAUUUUCUACAAAAUAAGUUAAUACUUGAAUGAUUCCGUAGAGUUAUAGCAGCGGCGACGAAGUCACAGCAACAUGUAUACACAUUACACACAUCGGCUGCAACUGAAUUGUAAAUAUUUGGAAUGGCCUAUUCCAUUAAUUCCAUAAAAAAAUUUACCAUUUGACAUGAAUGGAAUGGAAUACUCAUUCCAUCAAUUCCAAAAAUAAAUAGAAAAAAUACAAAAAGAAUCAUUCUAUAACAAAUUUGAUCAUGAAAGAAUGGAAUGAAUUCUAUUCCAUUUUUUGUUAUAUUCCAUUCCUACCAUUCCAUUUAUUUUAAAUUCCACAAAUUCCAUAUAUGUUUACCAGUUACACCCAUCAACUGAUAAUGUUACAGAAUUACUAGUUUCAAUUUCAAAAAAAUGAAAACCAUGUUGUUAUGAGAAUCAACCAUAAAUUAAUAAAAAAACAUUUCUUGUCCAAAAUAAAAGAAACAAAAACAUUUCCCGUUUUGUUUUAGUAUUUAAUUUAAUAAUAUGGGAAGGAAAAGGAAUCGGAUAAUAUAACAAAUCUAACGGCAGAGAGUAAGAGAGAGAAAGAGGUGUUUGAAUGAGAUUAAACAACGCCGCUCUUCUUCUUCUUCUGCAAUCCUCAUCUCCGCCUAGGGUUUUCUCUUCCACUCUCCGCCGCCCUUUUCUCUCUCACUUCCGCUUCUCUUCUUCCGCCGCAGUCAUGCCUGGUUCCGAACCAUCAUCGGAGAUCCAAUGGCCUGCCAAGACCGUCAGGGACACGUAUUUCGAUUUCUUCAAAGGGAAAGGUCACAAGUUCUGGCCAUCGAGCCCCGUUGUUCCCCACAACGAUCCCACUCUUCUCUUCGCCAACGCCGGUACGUAACUUCCAAUCGCCACGUUUUAUCGAAUCAGAUUAAUCUCGUGUUCUAAUUGUGGAGAUUGCUUUGUGAUCUAUUCACUCUUAGUUGAUUAAGGGUUUGUAGAUUAGAAGAUUCAUAUACUGUCUCAAAUGUCAUGUUCUUGGUUCUCUUAGCUCUGUGUAUAUUUGUUCAUUGUUAUCGAAGCGUUUGGAUCUAUUCAUUCACUCUCAAUUGGUUAAGAGUUUGUAGUUUGGAAGAUUCAUAAACUAUCUCAAAUGUCAUGUUCUUGAUUCUUAGUUAAUUUAAUAUUAUUGGAGAUAAAUUUAAUUUAAUUUCUCUGUUUUUUUUUCAAAAGGAAUGAACCAGUACAAGCCAAUAUUUUUGGGAACGGCUGACCCGAAUACGGAGCUCAGCAAGCUAACUCGGGCGUGUAACACACAGAAGUGUAUUCGUGCUGGUGGGAAGCAUAAUGAUCUUGACGAUGUGGGGAAAGAUACUUACCAUCACACCUUCUUUGAGAUGCUGGGUAACUGGUCAUUUGGAGAUUAUUUCAAGAAGGAAGCUAUUGAGUGGGCUUGGGAGCUCUUGACUAAGGUUAGUUGAACUAUUAGCAUCUUGUUUUGAAAUACGCUAUGGUUCAAACAGUACGUCAUAGUUUCGUUAAGUGGUUCCUUCUAUUGCUAUUGAUUGAUCGAGUUUAUGCAUCAGGUUUAUGGACUACCGACUGAUCGAAUUUAUGCUACCUAUUUUGGCGGUGAUGAGAAAGCUGGUCUUCAACCUGAUAAUGAGGCUCGGGAUAUAUGGCUGAAGUUUCUCCCACCUGGACGUGUGCUCCCUUUUGGUUGCAAAGUAUGUUGCUUUACUACUCUUAUAAAAAACUAAUCGUUUUAUAUGGAAUCUGCUUUGCUUGAUUCUCUCUUUCCUAAGGUUUCUUCAGAAAUGCGAGUAUUUCUUGUAUAUAUCGACACAUUGCUUUGUGAAUGAUAACUACUGUCAAGUUUAAGCUUGAAUGCAUUUUGUGGGAAAUUCGCUAGCAAGUUUUGGUGGUUGACAUGCUCUAAAAACCAGUUUCGUGAUUUCCAGUUGCUACCAUUCUUUCAUUGAACUGUUGGUGAACCUGCAGGACAACUUCUGGGAAAUGGGAGACACAGGUCCGUGUGGACCUUGUACAGAGAUUCAUUAUGAUCGUGUUGGCAACCGUGAUGCUGCAUCCUUAGUUAACAAUGACGAUCCAACAUGUUUGGAAAUAUGGAAUCUUGUGUUUAUUCAGGUACGAACGCUCUUUCCAGAUUUGUAAUUUAGUUCCAUUUUAAUACUUUUCAUCUACGUAUCGUGUUUGUAUACAGGAACUCUACAUUACGUCUCUAGUUGCAUUGUUUUUGCUUCUUUAUCUUUGUUAUUAUAUCCUCAAUUGUUUUCUCUAACGAGACUUAUUACUAUAUUUUCAAAAUAGUUCAACAGAGAGAGUGAUGGCUCACUAAAACCUCUCCCUGCUAAGCAUGUCGAUACUGGAAUGGGUUUCGAGAGGUUAACUUCUGUUCUUCAGAACAAAAUGAGCAACUACGAUACAGAUGUGUUCAUGCCUAUCUUUGAUGACAUUCAAAAGGUAAUUUGUGUAACCUUAAGGUUGUAUGACAUUCUGUUAAUUUCCAGUUAGUAUCUUACGGUUCCUCUUUUGUCCCAUUUAGUACUAUCAUCGUUGUUGUUUAUAUGUCAAAUGGGUCAUGAGUCCUGGUAAUUCUAUGAAUUCUAAUCUUAGGCUAUGUGUUCACUGGGAGGUUACAAUUAUUCUCCUUUUAAGCACACAGUCAUUUGUUUUGAAUGUCUGAUUUAGUGACUUUUGGAGUACAAUAUUCAAGGGAUCAUAGUAUUGGUAUUGGUAUCCCGGAGAUUAUUUCCUUGUUAGCUGUGGUUUUUUUGUCAUGUAUUUUUAUCAGUUAGAAAAGUUAAAAAGAGUUCUGAUUGGUCUUUUUCCCCUAGUUGCUGUGAAUGUUCAGUUAAGGUGUUCAUGCUUUCACAUUUUUAGGCCACAGGAGCGAGGCCAUAUUCUGGAAAAGUUGGUGUGGAAGAUGUCGACCGAGUUGACAUGGCUUAUAGAGUGGUUGCGGAUCAUAUUAGGACGCUAUCAUUUGCUAUCGCGGAUGGCUCUCGUCCUGGUAAGGCCACGAUUUCCUGUCUCACUUUAUACAAACGCCUUAGUAUUUGAUCAUUUAUUUUAGUUCAUACGUCUUAUUCUCCAACGAGAAGUGCUUUUGGUUUAUUUAUUCUUAAUUGACAUGAUGGAUUUGUGCUUUUUCUUCCUCAGUCAGCAUAUUAUGAUAGUCUAUUCUUUCUUGUUGGUUAACAAAUACCAUCCAAUGUACACUCUCUUGCAGGUAAUGAGGGCCGUGAGUAUGUUCUACGGCGUAUUCUUCGCAGAGCAGUUCGCUAUGGAAAGGAGAUCCUAAAAGCUGAAGAAGGUUUUUUCAACGGGUAGGAAACUACACUUGAUUGUCAUUUCAUGGGUUGUCUCAGUAUUUUUUUCGUUGGUGCUGGAACAUGUUCAUUUUAUCUUGCACCUUUGUAAUGCAGCAUAUAUUUCUAUAUGCAUAUUAGCUCCGUCUGUGUUUGACACUAAUUAGUUUGCGCUUUUAACAUGCAGACUCGUCAGUUCUGUUAUUCGAGUGAUGGGUGAUACCUUUACAGAGUUGAAGGAACAUGAGAAGAAGAUCACAGAGAUAAUAAAAGAAGAGGAAGCAAGCUUUUGCAAGACCUUGGCGAAGGUGAGGACUGGCCAUCUAUUUGCAGCUCAAUAUCGAUAAUGCCUUUUUGUUAUAUUAUUUCCAGUUUCGCCCUAAUUCAGUUUACCAUCAUUUCAGCUUUCCUUUUUCUGAAAGAUGAAUUGUUUUGAUAUGUUAAACUUUUUAUUGUCAUAUAUAUGUUAACAGGUGUCUAUAAGAAGGUUGAUUAUAUUAUUUUCAUGGCAGGGCAUUGAGAAAUUUCAGAAAGCUGGACAGGCAGUUCAGGGGAAUACAUUGAGUGGAGAGGUACUUAUCUAACUAUAUCUGUGUUGUAUGUUAGAUGUUACAGUAUUUUCAUCUGUGAUGUUUGAAUUUCCAUCUCAACAUACCGUUUUCUCUUUGCAGGAUGCUUUUGUCUUAUGGGAUACGUUUGGGUUCCCAUUAGAUCUCACACAGGUACUUAGGUCAUUCGUAGUUACAUCUAAUAGUAUAUGCGUUUCUUUAUAACUUUCAUUCUCGGGUUUCAGUUGAUGGCUGAAGAAAGAGGGUUGCUGGUUGAUGUUGAUGGCUUCAACAAAGCCAUGGAAGAGGCGAGGGAAAGAUCUAGAAGUGCCCAGAAUAAGGUGUUUCAACUUUUCUCUCUUUCCUUUGAUGUUAAAAUUAAGUGGGACUAUGGUCAACGCCAAAUUUACGUUUAUGUAUUGACUGAUCUUCUGAUGUCAAUUUUUGGUAGCAAGCUGGUGGUUCCAUAGUUAUGGAUGCUGAUGCUACAUCAAAAUUGCACAAGGCUGGUGUGUUAGCAACAGAUGACUCUUUUAAAUACACUUGGUUCAAGGUUUGUCCUAUUUAUUCCAGAAAAUUUGAAUGUUGGGCCUGAACUGUACUUAUGUUGGGGUAGAAUGAAAGAAAUCGGGGUACAGAGUAGCAUAUGGAUUUCUCUUAAAUUAAGCCUGUGCUGAGCAAAUGUCCUACCAAAUUUUGCGACAGGAUCACGAGAGUGAAGUAAAGGCUAUCUACACUGGCUCUGCUUUUCUGCAAAGUUCAGCUGCUGGCGAUAACGUUGGACUAGUUUUGACGUCGUCUAGUUUCUAUGCUGAGCAGGGUGGUCAGGUGAUCCAGUUUAUUUGAUAUGCACUUUAUUUUUCCGAGUGUUUCAUUUCUAAUCAUACGAGUGAUGGCAAGAAAAGGAGUUAUGUUCAUCUUGGAUAUAUGUACCUGAUAGUAACACCAUUAACACUGUCAUAUAAGAACUGCACUGUUUAAAUAUACGUAUCAGUUGCAAACACCAUGCAAUUGUUAUCGUCGGUUUUGCAAACGAAUAUCUAUAGUCUGUUUAUAGCUGCAUAUAUAUUUUAGAUUUCACAAAUUCUUAUAUGUAUAUAAAAUUCGUGCCCUUAACAUUUUGCUCUGGCAAUAGAUUUUCGAUACAGGACUUAUUGAAGGCUCGUUUGGUACAUUCAACGUAUGUAAUGUCCAAAUAUUUGGAGGCUUUGUUCUUCAUAUUGGUUAUCUCUCAAAAGAAACUGGAGUUGUAUCUGUGGGAGAUAAAGUGACUUGCAAGGUAUCGCUCUGCAUCAUACAGUGUUUGUCUCAGUCACUAGCGUAUCUGGUACUACCUUAACUGUUUGGAUAUCCGUUUUCUCUGUGUAGGUUGACUAUGAGAGGCGUAAGCUCAUCGCUCCUAACCAUACGUGUACACAUAUGUUGAAUUUUGCACUGAAGGUAUUGUUUCUGUAGUUUAAGUUACCUAAAGGGUAAUUUCCUUUUUCUUAAAUUGGAUCUCAAAACAUUCACUUUCCAUGAAUUCAGGAAGUGCUCGGGGAUCAUAUUGAUCAGAAGGGAUCAAUAGUUCUUCCUGAAAAACUGCGUUUUGAUUUUUCUCACGGUACAUUCUUCAAUACGUAUUUUUCAUAUUGAUAUGGAUAUGGAUAUGGAUAGUCUCUUAUAAUUGUCUAACGGUUUCCAUAAUAUCGAGUAGGCAAGCCGGUUGAUCCUGAAGAUUUAAGAAAGAUCGAAGCCAUAGUGAAUAAACAGAUCAAGGAUGAACUGGAUGUAUUUUCGAAGGAAUCAGUGCUUUCUGAAGCCAAGCGAAUCAAAGGUCUAAGAGCAGUAUUUGGUGAAGUAAGCUGUCCACCAGUUCUCUUGCAAUGCAUUUUUAGUUUGUUUUCUGUGAAUCUAAAACGUUUUCGCUUCCUCUGUUUUUAGGUCUACCCUGAUCCUGUUAGAGUGGUGUCGAUUGGGAGACGGGUCGAGGACCUCUUGGCUGAUCCCGAAAACGAUGAGUGGUCAUCACUUUCUUCUGAGUUUUGUGGAGGUUGGUUUCCAUGGGGGAUGUUUUUUGAUCUUUCGGAAUAGAGUAUUGAGUAUUGUAUUAUUUUGGAUAUCGCAGGAACCCACAUAACAAACACCCGUGAAGCGAAAGCUUUUGCUCUUCUAUCAGAAGAGGGAAUUUCUAAAGGUAUUCGUAGGGUAACUGCUGUGACUACCGAAUGUGCUUUUGAUGCAAUGAACGUGGCGUCCUCACUUGAAAAAGAAGUCGAGGAUGCAUCCAAAGCGGAGGGGAGUGCAUUGGAAAAGGUUAUCUCUCUUCUCUCGUUUCUCACAAUCUAAAAAUUUAUAAUAAAUCUUAUUCAUGUCAAACUUAAUGUGAUCAAUUUUGAAUGUUGACAGAAAGUUGCUGCUUUGAAAAGCCGGGUAGACUCGGCAAUUAUGCCAGCGGCCAAAAAGGCAGAUAUAAGGGCCAAGAUUGCUCUGCUUCAGGUAAUCUCUUUCAGCUCUACAUUGAGGAGCUUUUUUUCUGCAUCUACUUUGCAAAGAACCUUUGGCUUGUGUCUGGUAACAGAAGUAUUAAAGUGGAUAUAUUCUUUUUUUUUUAAAUUGCAGAAUGAAGUGAGGAAAGCUCAAAAGAAAAUAGCAGAGCAGAACCUGAAGAUAUCUGUGAAAGUAGCAACAGAGGCAGCAGAAUCUGCAGCAUCAGAUGGGAAGACAUUCUGCAUUAUCCAGCUUGAUGUAGGUCUUGAUGCAGCUGCCGUGCGAGAAGCUGUCUCCAAAGUUAUGGAAAAGAAGGUAAAUCUCCAUUUACUUCUACUAACUACUCUUCGAAAAGGUAAAGAAAGUUAAAUAAAAGUGUUGUUGGUGAAUCUUCUAGGGAAUGUCGAUAAUGGUGUUCAGCACAGAUGAAACGACCAACAAGGCGGUUGUGUGUGCAGGAGUUCCAGACAAAUCUGAUAAAUUCAAGCAAUUAGACGUUACUGAGUGGCUUACUACUGCAUUGGGUCCUCUGAAAGGGAGAUGCGGGAAAGGGAAAAGUGGUCUUGCAUCUGGACAGGUAUGUGUCUGGGUUUUAGGGAUCAUGUGCUAAUGGAUCUCAAUCUCAGUUCCGUCGGUGAAGUAUAUGGUGCAUAGAUUGACUCUUGAGCAUAUGUUGUUGUGGUCUCAGGGAACGGAUGCUUCUCAAGUGAACGCAGCUUUGGAUCUGGCUGCAUCAUUUGCAUCACUGAAACUCAACUGAUUGAUGUGGAGGUGAUUACAGAAUCUGUGUGGUCUGAACAAGCUUUACUCAUUUGAUACCAUUGUAUACCGUUUUACUCAUUUUAAGAUCUACUGUUUUCUCAUUUCUUGUGUCGAAUUCGUGGUACUUCUUAGUCGGUCAAACUUAGCAAUUGGUGGUACCUCUUUUGAGCCAAUCCGAUUAUGGUUCUACUGGUUUGGUUUUAUAUUUCAAUAAUUUAUGGAACAUAACAGCUGUUUACUCGGUUUUUGGGUUUGAUAUGGUUUCAGUUCAGAUUUUGUUUUUCUAAGAUAUUUUUGGUUUUUUGACCAAAAAAAAAGAUAUUUUUGGUUUCUAUUGUUUUAAUUUGAAUUUUGAGAUAAGAGUCGUAUUUGCAAGGAUGGAAAGUUGUAUUGAAUAAUGGAAAACAUAUGUAUAAGAUGAUUUAGAUAGUUUUUGUAUUGAACUAAAUUACUCUAAAUAGAUAAGGUAGGUUUUGGGACUAAAAUUAGACCAUGACAAUAUAUUAUGUUUUAUUUAAAAUUUUGUAAAGCAAUAUAUAACUGGUAUACUUUUGUCUCUCUCAAUGUUUCUUGUCUUCGUUCACAGUCUUCUUUCUCUUUAUUUUUUUUAAAUAUAAGUUUCAAAUGUUUCUAAAUCUUAGUUUAGAAAAGAAAAAUGAGCGAUUUUAAUACAAAAUUGCAAUUGAAACAAAAUGUCGUUUAAUGUUUAAUGUCAUAAACAUCUUAUAGUCGGUUAUUUCACAAGUUACUUGUUUAUCUUUACCAAAUAAGUGCCAUAUUUGUAAAACAUAAUUUUAGAGUAAUGUAAAUCCUAAAUAAUAAAUAACGGCAGUCAUUCGAUAAAAGAAAUAAUAUUCAAUUAAUAUAUAUAUAUAUAUAUAUAUAUAUAUUAGAUUAUCAUAUUGCUUUAAAUUUGAAUGAUAUAACACAUAAGUUUCAUUAAUCAGAUUCUUCAUGUCCAGUAUAAGUAAUGUUUUUUUAACAACGAUUAAGUAAUGUAUAUUUGUCAGGGCAAAUCUCUAAAAUAGCACCUUUCUAAGUUUAUAUCACAAAAAUAGCACUCAAAAACUAAAAUGACCAAAAUAGCACAUUUUUAAGUUUAUCCUUUGAAAAUUUUAAUUUUUUUAUUUUUCAAAAUUUGAAAUCUUAUCCCCAAAACGUCAUUUCUCAACUCUAAACCCUAAACCGUAAACUCUAAACCCUAAACCGUAAACUGUAAACCCUAAACCCUAAACUCUAAACCCUAAACUCUAAACCCUAAACCCUAAACUCUAAACCCUAAACCCUAAACCCUAAACCCUAAACUCUAAACCCUAAACCCUAAACCCUAAAUUCUAAACCCCAUCUUUUAACUCUAAACCCUAAGUUUGUGACUUUUGAUAAAACAUUGAGUGCUAUUUUUGUAACUUUUGAGUGCUAGUUUAGGAACAUAAACUUGAUUUAUUGCUAUUUUUGUCUUUUUCUCUAUUUGUUAUUCGAAAACCAANNNNNNNNNNNNNNNNNNNNNNNNNNNNNNNNNNNNNNNNNNNNNNNNNNNNNNNNNNNNNNNNNNNNNNNNNNNNNNNNNNNNNNNNNNNNNNNNNNNNAAAUGAAAAAAAAAGUAGGCACUAUAUAUAAGAGGGGGGGGGGGUUGAAUCUUUUUGUUGGUAAACGAAUUUUUCUUUGACUAAUGAAAAUAAAUAGUUUAAGGCCUCAGAAAAAAUAGAAACGAAACGUGAACCAACUAAACAUUUGCACAAAGGAGCAGUCGUAAUUAAAGGCUCACCAAUCAACUAUAUAAUCAAAUUAAUAAAACCUUACAGUUUACUUUAGUUUUUUAUUUAUUCUUAGAAACAACAGUUUGUAUUAUUUUGAGAAACAACCUUACAAUUUAUCUUCCAGCUUCAAAAAAAUAUUGUUAAUUUGCUUUAAUACAGUAGUUUAGUGCACAAACUUCUAUACAAAUACGUUAAGCACAAUCCACUAUUCCCUUUGUUUCCGAAAGAAAGAUUUUCUAGAGUAUUCACGCAUAUUAAGAAAACAAUUAAGUUUUUACAAUUAAACUUAUUAUUUAUUUUACUAUACAUUUUUCAAUAAAUAUCAACCAAUAGUAUUCAACCAAUUCAAAAUUUUCAAUUAAUGUUUCUUAAAAGUAUACAACUUUUCAACAUUUACUACUAAAAGUACUUUAAAAUUUUAGAAAAUCUAUCAUUUUGGAACAAAAAAUAAAUCUAGAAAAUCCUACUUUCAGGAACAGAGGGAGUAAAAGAUAUUGAUACCCUGCCAAAAUAAUCCAAUUAAUGCAAGGCUUCAAUCCCAUAAUCCGUUAAUGUAAGGCUUUAAAGCCACAAGAAUACAUGUACAUCUCAAACAUUCAACCAAAAAAGAUUGAUAAAGACGAUUUCCACAUUCAUUGUUUAUACCCCACUUAGCCGCGGAUACAUUCAUAGAACCGAAGAUCCGAACCAAUAAGAUUUAGUGCAGAUUUAAAUCGUAUCAAUUAUACUAGUGGAUCUUAUAUUCCAAAUACACUAAGGUGUAUCUCACAUCCUAGUGUGUGGGUGAAUCUUUGUCAUUCGUGGUGGUGCAGAAGACUUAUCUGUGCAGGUUCGGAAGCGUCACCAAAUUGGUUGUAGUGGCGAGUUCAAGCCGCUCUUUUGGUGGUUGCGGGAUUGCCAACUUGCGUUCAUGAUCGGAUAUUUGUGUGCUCAGUUUCUGUUUGUCUGUGGCCGGUUGGCGAGGCGGUAUAGCUUGCAGUGGCUCAUCCUUAGGUAUUGUUUCUUGUAACUCUUCCCUCAAUUUCUCGUCCUGUGCUUCAUCGCCAAUGGAGAUUAUAGGCCUUGACAAGCUCUCCGAGACCAGCUAUUUCAGGUGUUGAACAUGGAAGACCGACAUCCGAGGAAACAAGGUUAAACCCACCGUUUCCAGAAUCUGCGACAUUGAUUGAGAAUAAAAACUGAAUCAUUUGGAGAUUUUAGAAUAGUCCAGCGGAAUGUGUCUGUUUAGGUGGUUGAUGCGAAGUCAGUGCUAUAAUAUUUGAACUAGAUAAGCUUUGGUUGAAAUCAGAUUGUAAUCGAAAUUGUACUCCCGUUUUUGGGUUUUAUAUAAUAUUUCUAUAUUAGUAAAAAAUUGGUAUUAUAGAAAUAUAUCUUAGUGUUUAUCUCUAGUUAUUUAAGCUAUUACGUGGAAAAUAACAUUUUAAAACAAUGUUAAAAUAGUUGAAACAAAAAAUGCAUUUUUUACCAUGUAUAUUUUUUGUGCUGAAAUUUGAAUUUAAAAGAAUAAUCUACUUCUUGGUAAAAAAAUAAGAAUAAUCUACUUGAGAAAAAAUAUGAACUGUCGUGUAGUAAACCAUGCCUCCAUCGUAUGAUGUCCGCUAUUUACCCGGGACUGAUGAAUAACGAUUUUUUUUUGUCAACUAGAGGACCAUGCCACUUAUGAGUGUACAUGUAUUUUCUUGCAUUUUAAUUUGAAAUCCCUUUUUCAAAAAAAAAAAACUAGAGGACCAUGCCUCCAAGCCUCUCAUCGGUGUAGCAAACCAUGCCUCCAAGCCUCUCAUCGCUGCUACUGCACCAGACAUUUCUGAUGCUGAACGAUAAGGACCCGUUUAUCUAUCAAUUUGAACUUGGAAAAUAGCAUCCCUUUCUGAAAAAAAAAUUAUAUAUCACAUGCCAACAAAAGGGAAUGUAGGUCUUGUUCAAAGAAUGAAUGAUAACACAACAAGCAGUCUUUCUCUCUCCUUUCGCUCUGUCUUCUCUCUAGAUCUGUCACAGAGGAAGGAUUGAAAGGAGACUUCUACCGGAGUUUCCAACUCAUUUCCGGUUAGUAAGCGCGAUUCUAGGAAGCGGUGUGUCUCUUUAUACCGCUAUCGCCAGCUUCUGUUUCCGGGAAACGGUGGCUCUGAUAGCACCGAUUCCGCCAGCUUUCGUCUCCGGGAAAGCGGUGGCUCUGAUAGCACCGUUCUUUCGCCGGCUCUUCUCCGGUUUGUUCCGGUGAUAAGUUCUCGAUCUACGCUUUUGCUCUUCCCCUGUCCAAUCGACUCUCGAUCUGAAAAUCUGUAUGAUUUUUCGGAUCGAUCGAAGAUGAUUGUUGUUGUUUUUUAAAGCAUGGAUCGAUGGUGUUUGUGUUCUAUAGGUCUUCAUCGGUUUUGGGCUCCAUGGUUGAGUCGAGUCGCGCUUUUGCUCUGAUCCCGGCAGAAGCUGUUGUAUUCUUCCGGUGGUGGUCCGAUUAUUGCGGCGGCGGAGUAUGCAUGCCGAUGAAGAGCUUUGUGACGUGGUCAAGACGUGGCGGCCUGGUGACGCGUGUCCCUCGCAGGGAGGAUUUCGACACGUGUACUCUUCACGCAACUCGCGGGGAGAAAGAGGCGCCUUUGUGGGUUAGAUCGUUUGGGCUUAGGGCCCAAUAAGUUUUACGGUUUCGGUAGCCCUACUGUGUUUGGGCCUCAUAGUUGUACUCCUGUUUACGUUUUUGGGCUUGGUCUUCUGGCUUUGUCUUUAAUAAACUUUAGAUGGAAAAAAAAAAAAAAGGUCUUGUUCAAAGAUCACGAAUGUAACGUAUAUAUAUGUAUCAUUUUUUUGUCGGCAUAUUAUUAUACGUUUUGUGUUAAAGACUGGGGUCAAGCCAGAAGUGUUUUAGUGUCAAAAUAAUGCAAAAGAUAUAGUAAAAUUGUUUAAAUGACUUUUGAAAAAGGCAGUAGUACAUCUGUACAUGUGUACAGCUCCUGUAUAACACAAAGGACACGCGUUGUAGGCUUAACGCUACAUUUGCUACUAGGUACACUGCGAAACAAUAUCAGUAAAUAUAUUUAUUUUUUGUUUAAAAGGGAUCAGUAAUACUAAAUAUAUUUAUCAAGAGUGAAUUACUUUGUGAUUAUUUCAUAAGUAGUAUUAUUUAAACUAUUAGUACCAAGACCUAUCGCCAUAAACGUUUUCAGAGUAACUGUAUGAUUUUUCUUUCUUUUCUUUUGGUAAAAAAUGUAUGAUUCUUUUUGAUCGACCUACAACUAUUUCAGAUUUACCGUUCACCUAGUAUUAACUCUUAAUAACCUUUAACGUAAUUAAAUACCUCGGUAGAGGCUUCUUGAUAAAGAAAACGAUAAAACUGAUAUAACAUUACAUGAACUGAAAACACUUGCGUUACAAAAAAAAAACAAAACACACAAACAGAGACUUAUUCGAAAACAUAUUACACACACAUGUACGGUACGACAUGGUGUUGUACGGAAUAUUAGAUAGAAAGGAACAACACCAGACGAUGGAUAUGGUAGAUUUGAGUUAUGAGAAUCGAUCGAUAGAUCAGCAAUGUCUGGUGCAGUAGCAACGACGACGGAAACCACGGCAUUUACCUCCGCCAAA
This 81677-nucleotide long non-coding RNA is filed under the name Brassica napus (rape). Its description in RNAcentral is "long non-coding RNA (BNAP_LNC005604)". Lineage: Eukaryota; Viridiplantae; Streptophyta; Magnoliopsida; Brassicales; Brassicaceae. The record is from RNAcentral.